CCUUUUAGGAACUGGAUUUGUUGGGCCUAUAAAUAGACUCAUACCCUACUCACUUAUACCUCAUCCAACGCUUAUUCCUCAUCCAAUCGGCAGAAAGGUAUAGAAAACUUUUCUUCUCCCUUUCUCUUUUUUUUUUUUUCUUUUUUUUUUGUGUGUGUGUUUUUUUUUUAUUCUGUUUUGUUUUUUUUUUUUUUUUUUUUGUUUUUUUUUUUGUUGUUUUGUUUUUUUUUUUUUUUUUUUUUUUUUUUUUUUGCAGGAAUGACUUUGUCGAGCUUCUUCUAGGGACGAUCGGGCUUUUGCCGUCAGAUCUAUCGCCCUAGUUGGAGAGAUCGACUCUGUCAUCGUCGGGCUUCGAUCUUCGUUUGCAGAAAUGACUUUGUUGAGCUUCUUCUAGGGACGAUCGGGCUUUUGCCGUCAGAUCUAUUGCCCUAGUUGGAGAGAUCGACUCUGUCAUCGUCGGGCUUCAAUUUUCGUUUGCAGAAAUGACUUUGUUGAGCUUCUUCUAGGGACGAUCGGGCUUUUGCCGUCAGAUCUAUUGCCCUAGUUGGAGAGAUCGACUCUGUCAUCGUCGGGCUUCAAUUUUCGUUUGCAGAAAUGACUUUGUUGAGCUUCUUCUAGGGACGAUCGGGCUUUUGCCGUCAGAUCUAUCGCCCUAGUUGGAGAGAUCGACUCUGUCAUCGUCGGGCUUCAAUCUUCGUUUGCAGAAAUGACUUUGUUGAGCUUCUUCUAGGGACGAUCGGGCUUUUGCCGUCAGAUCUAUCGCCCUAGUAGGAGAGAUCGACUCUGUCAUCGUCGGGCUUCGAUCUUCGUUUGCAGAAAUGACUUUGUUGAGCUUCUUCUAGGGACGAUCGGGCUUUUGCCGUCAGAUCUAUCGCCCUAGUAGGAGAGAUCGACUCUGUCAUCGUCGGGCUUCAAUCUUCGUUUGCAUAAAUGACUUUGUUGAGCUUCUUCUAGGGACGAUCGGGCUUUUGCCGUCAGAUCUAUCGCCCUAGUAGGAGAGAUCGACUCUGUCAUCGUCGGGCUUCGAUCUUCGUUAUCACCAAUUGAGCUUCUUCGUUUUUUUUUUUUUUUUCUUCUUCUUCUUAUUCUUCUUUCUUUUUGUUUUUUCUUCUUUUGCUUCUUUCUUUUUGUUUUCUUCUUCUUCUUCUUUCUUUUGUUUUUUUUUCUUUUUCUUCUUUCUUUUUGCUUUUUUUUUUUUUUUUUUUUUCCUUCUUUCUUCUUCAUCAUUUUCUUCUUUCUUCUUCUUGCUUCUCCCUUUUUUUUUUUUCUUUCUUUCUUGGUUGUGGUACUAGGGAGAAGAUGAAGAUGAAUCAAUCUAGCUUGCGACACCUUAGAGCUGAUGAAAAUGAAUUCCAUCGGCCGGGUUGUGACACCUGUUAGAUGAUAAAGAUGAAUACUCUCAGCUACGACAUAUAGGAGAAGAUGAAGAUGAAUCCUCUCGGCUAUGACAUAUGGGAGGAGAUGAAGAUGAAUUCUCUUCAGUUGCAGCACUUGGAAGAAGAUGAAGAUGAAUCCUCUCAGCUAUGACAUAUGAGAGAAGAUGAAGAUGAAUCCUCUCGGCUAUGACAUAUGAAAGGAGAUGAAUCCUCUCGACUAUGACAUAUGGGAGGAGAUGAAGAUGAAUCCUAUUCAAUUGCAGCACCUGGGAGAAGAUGAAGAUAAAUCCUCUCGGCUAUGACAUAUGGGAGAAGAUGAAGAUGAAUCCUCUCGGCUAUGACAUAUGAGAGAAGAUGAAUCAUUUUCGAUUGCAGCACCUGGGAGAAGAUGAAGAUGAAUCUUCUCAGCUAUGACAUAUAAGAGAAGAUGAAGAUGAAUCAUCUUUGAUUGUAGCACCUAGAAGAAGAUGAAGGUGAAUCCUUCCGGCUACGACAUAUGAAAGAAGAUGAAGAUGAAUUCUCUUUGGUUGCAACUCCUAAAAGAAGAUGAAAAUGAAUCUUCUUUGGUUGCGACACCUGAAAGAAGAUGAAGGUGAAUCUUCUCGGUUGCGACUCUUAGGAGAAGAUGAAGAUGAAUCUUCUCAGUUGCAAUUCCAAUGAGAAGAUGAAGAUGAAUCCUCUCGGUUGUAGCACCUAGAAGAAGAUGAAGGUGAAUCCUUCCGGCUACGUCAUAUGAAAGAAGAUGAAGAUGAAUCCUCUUUGGUUGCAGCACCUGGAAGAAGAUAAAGAUGAAUCUUCUUUGGUUGCGACACCUGAAAGAAGAUGAAGGUGAAUCUUCUCAGUUGCAAUUCUUAGGAGAAGAUGAAGAUGAAUCCUCUCGGUUGUUACACCUGAGAGAAGAUGAAAAUGAAUCUUCUUGAUUGCGACUCCUAGGUGAAGAUGAAGAUGAAUCAUCUCGGUUGUAACACAUGGAGGAAGACAAAGAUGAAUCCUCUCACUUGCGACACCUUAGAGCAGAUGAAGAUGAAUCAUCUUCGAUUGCAAAACUUAGAAGAAGAUGAAGAUGAAUCCUCUUCGGUUGCAAUAAGCUGAAGAUGAAGCAGAGGUUAAAGCUUUAGCAUUGCAUGCAUCUUCUUCAAGAGGCAGAAACGAUGUUACACUGUCGUUUUCAUCUUGGAGAGGCGAAGGCAGAGCUACCCGAUCGUCGUCCUAUCAAAGUUGUACCAUCGUUAUCCUCUCAAAGAGCUGGAGCUACAGCAUCGAUGAAGCCUUCAAACUUGAAUAUAAGGAAUCAUCAAUGAAACUUUUAUGCUUGAAUUUGAGGGAUCAUUAAUGAUGCCUUUGAGCUUGAUUUUAAGAUUCUUUUUUUUUCUUUUUACAUGCACUCAACUUGUACAUAGUCUUUGCACGGAGUUUGUACAUCUUCAAUUUAUUUCAUCUCAUUGUUACUAAAGAUGAACAUCUUGAAUUUAGGGAUUUGCCCCCAAUUUGUUAUGAUUCCUUAGUAGAGAUGAACACCCUUUGAAGAAAAGAAUUAACUCACGACGUAGUUCAAGGUUUUUUUUUUUUUUAUAAUGGUGGACUGAACUUAAAGUUUUCUUUAAGUUGCCUACGUACCCUUUAUAAUGUAGGGAUCAAGUCAUAACGUAGUUCAACUUUUUUUUUUGCUGGACUGGGCUUAAGGUUUUCCUUAAGCUGCCUACGUACCCUUUAUAACAUAGGGAUCAAGUCAUAACGUAGUUCAAUUUUUUUUUUGCUGGACUGGGCUUAAGGUUUUCCUUAAGCUGCCUACGUACCCUUUAUAACAUAGGGAUCAAGUCAUAACGUAGUUCAAUUUUUUUUUUUUUUUUUUUUUUUUUUACCUAACAAAAUUAAGCAUAAAAUUUCUUAAGAAAUUUACCAUUGAUUGGGCCAAUUCGUAGUCCGUCUUGAUCAACGAUCUUGUAUGCGCCAUUUGUAUAAACUUCUUUAACAAUGUAAGGUCCAUCCCAUUUAGGUGUGAACUUAUUUCCUGUAUGCCUUGUUGUGAUGAUCGGUCUCCUUACGGCAAGUACUAGAUCACCGACUUGAAAGGAGCGAGGUUUAACGUGUUUAUCAAAAGCUUUGGACAUUCUCGCUUGAUAACAUUCCAAUGCUUGCUGAGCCUCUAAUCGCUUUUCGUCAAGUGCUUCUAAUUCUUGAAGACGUAACUUCACUUUAUCUUCGGUAGUCAAUCCCUCUUGUACUGCCAUUCUUAGUGACGGAAUUUCCCUUUCGAGAGGAAGGACAGCCUCCACACCGUAAACAAGCGAAUAUGGUGUAACCCCUGUAGGGGUGCGAUGAGUCGUCCGAUAAGCCCAUAAUGCCUCGCCGAUCUUUUCUUGCCAAUCCCUCUUUGACUUGGAGACAAUUUUCUUUAAAAGAUUGCACAAUGUUUUGUUGAAUGCUUCUGCUAGUCCAUUCGCAGCUGCGUUGUACAUGGAUGACUUAUAUUGCUUGAAUUUGAAUUUUUCACAUAACUUGUCCAUCAUACUAUUGGAGAAUUGCUUUCCAUUAUCCGUCACGAUUCGAUGUGAAAUACCGUAUCGAUAGAUGAUGUGUGUUCGAAUAAAGUCUGCCACGUUCUCCUUCUUGGCUUCUCUCAAUGAAAUGGCCUCAGCCCACCUUGAAAAAUAGUCGUUGCUGCUAGGAUAUAAGAAUGUCCUGCUGAUGAUUUUGGUGUAAUGGGGCCAACCAGAUCGAGUCCCCAAGCCUCAAAAGGCCAAGAAGCCACAGUUGGAUGAAGAGGUUCUGGAGGUUGGUGUAUGAAGUUUGCAUGGUAUUGACAAGGCUCACACUUCUUCACAUAGUCUAUUGAAUCUUGGAUCAUCUUAGGCCAGUAGUAGCCCAUUCUUCUUAGCUGGAAUUGAAGCUUUGGUCCCGAUUGAUGUGCUCCACAAACACCUGCAUGUACUUCCUUUAGAGCUUUUACCGAAUCUUCCUUUCCGAGACAUCGAAGGAAGAGCCCUUCAAGAGAACGGCGAUAUAAAGUUCCCUUGUAAUAAAUGAAGUGUGCUGCCCUUCUUCGUAUCUCAAUUUUAUGACGAGAAUCCUUUGGAAGCUUUCCAUGUUCAAGAUACUCUAUGAUGGGUUGACGCCAAUCUUCUUCAUCAAUCAAAUAGGAUGUUGCCAUGUUCACUUCCUGACAUUCAGGCCUAACUGGGGGUAAUCCAUCGUUGACAAAGUGGUAUGUUCAGAGUUACAUCAUCUGGCAUGGUCAAGGCCGUGGCUAAAUUUGCCAAUGCAUCCGCUCUCUUAUUUUCUACUCUAGGGACAUGUUCUAACAUCACGUUAUCAAACUUUUCCAUCAAUUGUCGAGCAUAAGCAAAAUAUGGCUUCAAGUCUUCAUGUUUCACGUCAUAUUGAAGCGAGAGUUGAUUGAUUAUCAAUUUUGAAUCACCAUAGACUUCUAUGAAUGACACUCCGAUUUUUAAUGCUAUUUGAAGGCCAAUUAUCAAAGCCUGAUAUUCAGCCACAUUGUUUGAACACAAUUCGGAAAGUGCAAAGCUAUAAGGCAACAUAUGCUUCUCAGGAGAAAUGAGGACAAUGCUUGCCCCCGCACCACUUCUUCGAGCUGCACCAUCGAAGUACAUAGUCCAAGGUUCCAUAACUUCUGUGAAGAAAACCUCAUCGUCUGGUAGGUCAUCACAUAACUUCCAAUCCGAAGGAAUUGGGUGGUCUGCUAAAAAGUCUGCUAGCGCUUGUCCUUUUAUCGCCUUUUGGGGAAUAUAGACAAUGUCAUAUUGUUGGAGUAGAACCGCUCAUUUGGCUAAGCGUCCAGAGAUGAUUGGCCUGGAUAGAACAUACUUUAUAGGGUCUGCUUUUGCCACUAGAUGAACCGUGAAGGCCUGCAUAUAAUGCCUCAACUUAUCAAUGGCAAAGAAAAGUGCAAGACACAUCUUUUCGAUAGGAGAAUAGUUAACUUCAGCCCCAAUUAAUGUUCUGCUUAGAUAGUAGAGAGAACGCUCUUUUCCCUUUACCUCUUCUUGUGCCAGUAAUGCUCCUAAGGACCUUUCUUGUGCAGCAAUGUACAAUAUUAGUGGUUUGUCAGGUACUGGAGCUCCCAGCACUGGGGGAGUAAGCAAGUAUUUCUUUAUGCUAUCAAAAGCGUUCUGACAAGCUUCAUCCCACACAAAAUUUUCUCCUUUUCUCAUCAACUUUUGAAAAGGUUGACACCGACCGGCCAAGUUAGAGAUGAACCUUCGGAUGUAAGCCAGUCGUCCUUGGAGACUUCUUAGGUCAUGCAAACUUUUAAGUCUUGACAUCUUCUGAAUGGCAUCAAUCUUGGACUGGUCUAUUUCGAUCCCUCGAUGCCUUACAAUGAAGCCAAGAAAUUUUCCUGAAGUUACACCAAACACACACUUGAGAGGGUUCAUCCUUAGCUGAUAUUUUCGCAAGCGAUCAAACACGACUUUUAGAUCCUUCAAAUGGUCUUGUCGUCUCUUUGUUUUGACUACAAGAUCAUCAACAUAACAUUCAACAUACCUGUGCAACAUAUCAUCAAACACUUUCUGCAUGGCACGUUGAUAAGUAGCACCGGCAUUUUUCAAUCCAAAGGGCAUCACCUUGUAACAGUAUAUUCCCUUUGGAGUUCUGAAAGCUGUCAUUUCUUCAUCUGAGAGGGCCAUCCGUAUUUGAUUAUAUCCAGACGACCCAUCCAUAAACGACAACGCCUCGUGUCCAGUAGUUGCAUCAACCAUGAUUUCGGUGAUGGGCAAGGGAAAAUCAUCUUUAGGGCAUGCAUUAUUCAGAUCGCGAAAGUCUACACAAACGCGAAGUUGUCCAUUUUUUUUUCUAACAGGGACAAUGUUUGCUAUCCACGUUGGAUAUUUGACCUCGCGAAUGAAUCCUGCUUCGAUCAACUUGUUGACUUCCACCUCGAUUUGAGGGAUAAGCUCUGGUCAAAAACGUCGUUGUGCUUGUUUAAUCGGUCGAUAUCCAGGUUUAAUUGCAAGAUGAUGGACUGCUACUUUUGGGUCAAGUCCUGGCAUCUCCUUGUACGACCACGCAAAGAUGUCCCUGUAUUCGGUGAGCAAACUCAUAUAUUUAUCCACCUCUUCGUUAGAGAGGGACGCACUAAUGAAAGUCGGACGUGGUUCCUCUAUUGUACCAAGGUUCACCUCUUUUAGCUCGUCUACAGUAGAUUGGCCACCAUCCUCUAAACUUUGUGGGACAUUUUCUGCAUCUUCUUCAUGAGUUCCAGUCUCCGAUUCCUCAAUAAUGGUGAUGUGAUGACAUGAAGUUUCACAUUCCCCUUGUUCCGACCCUUCUUUUUCAGGAUUCGUUAGUAUAACAUCAUGUCUUUUUACCUUUAACGAACCUUGACUUGUAUUGAGAGUAACAAAAGUUUUUCUUUUCAUGCGAGAAGGAACGUUGCUAUGAAUUUCUCCAUUUUCCUUUGUCUCGCAAGGAAACUUCUUACUACGAUAAUUAUCGACAUCUGUAUGCUUAAUUCGACGCCAAACUUUCACACGAGACAUUGGUUCCUUCUUCUUUGUAUCUAUGUUGGAAUCAAUGUUGUCGUGUGAUCCUUUAUCCCCGAGAUGAUUAAAAAUCGGAGCACGAGGUGCUUGUACAUUUUUCUUUUUAGACACACCUAGCCUUUCAAAGGCUGAUGGUCUUGUAGUUGUCAAGGCAUGGCAUGUGCUUUCUUCCUUUAUGGGAGUCGUAGUUAGCCUUCGAAAGACCGAAUGUCUCUCAAGGUUUGGUACUGACUGGAGCCUUUCUCUUUCUGCCUCUGUCAUGCUUAGCCUUUCAAAUACUACGGGACGUGCAACAGAUGGUCUAAUUCGAUCAAAUACUGAGAUUCUCUGAUUAUCACCUUCUUUUACGUCAGUAUUGUCAUCCUCCUCUAUAGUUAUAUGAUUGAUGUCAACCACUUUUUCCUUCCCCUUUUUAGUUAUACGGAUCGGUUCUGGCGACUUGUAUCCGAGUCCUUUUCUCGACACGGGUAUAGAAUGUCCUUCCCGUAGAAGCUUCUUUUGAGUUGAGGAGAGCUCAGGUCGGUCAUGAAUUUCCAAGCUUUUAAACUCGGUGUGAGCUGUGAAGUCAUAACCUGCUUUCGCCAUCAAUUUGUAAGCCUUGGGGUCGAAUCCGUCUUUCGUUCGCCUUUGGGGCAAGCUUGCUUCCACCAGAUCUACCUUUACCUCUUGCUUCGCUAUCUUAGUUAGUGGUGUAGUGAAGUUUUCUUUUAUGAUUUCGAUGUCCCCAACUUUCAAACCUUUUGGAGACUCCAUGAAUGGUGAUUCGCCUUUCUUGCGCCUUGACAGAGGGACAUAACGCAAAACUGGUGUGUUUGCAGCAUUUUCAUUCUUCAAGAUCAUACCCUUUGUGCUGCGAGUGUAUGUUUCACCCUUUCCAGAGUUAAAGGUUCUCGCACUUUCAUGUGGUUCUGUGGUUGCGAGUGAUUUCAGUUGUGAAUUAUCUUCUCCUUUUGUAAGAGGGGUUUCUGCAGGCAAAACUUCUAAAAUAUUAUUAUUCUUUGAAUAAAACUUUGCAUCUGCGAAGUGAGACUCAGCUUCUGAGAAUGGAUUAGAGUCGGCUUCAACCUUCUUUACACCGUCCUGAUAAAAUUUGAAGCACUGAUGCAGUGUUGAAGUUACUACUCCGUUUCCAUGAAUCCAAGGACGCCCUAGUAACAACUUGUAAGUAGUCCUUGAGUCUAUGACAUGAAACAAUGCACUGGCCUUUAGGUCGCCAAUUAUGAGUUCUAACCGUAUCAUGCCUAUUGCUCUUUGGCUACCUUGGUUAAAACCUUGAAUUACUAGCUUGCUAUUUGAGAGCUCGUCCAUCAAGAUGCCUAAUUGCCACAUAGUCGACUUUGGCAUUAUGUUGACAGCUGAGCCAUUAUCAAUGAGGAUUCGAUCGACUCUCUGUUCUCGAACGUAUCCAGAAACAUACAAAGGUCUAUUAUGAAGUUUAGAUCCCAACAACAAAUUCUCAUCUGAGAAGUCUAUAGACAUACAAUAAGAACCACUCUCAUAUGUCAUAGUCGGAGUACUCGAACUUGAUGCUCUUGAAUUUAGCAAUGCAUCAAUAAGGAUGGUUUUGGUCUCUUGAGGAAGUGAUAAUAGAUCCUCUACAUUAAACCUUGAAAGGUCUUUUGAUACUCCCUCUCCUUCUAGUGAUCUUGGAGGGAUUCUUUCUUCCUCCGUUGUGUUGAUAGCAUGACACGCAACGACUUCUGGGUCUUCAUCCUGAUGAUCACAAAGGAAGCUUUUUGGAAGGAAGUCUGCCAAGGUCACUAAGCGUUGAGGUCGAGAGAAAUUCAUGUCUUCAUUAUGUACGAGCUUAAGCUUAUGAGUCUUCUUCUUUUUCUUAUUCUUUUGAGUCUUAUUUCCUCUUCUAUAGUUUUGGUAAGAGCGAGACUCUCUUUGGGUCGGGAUCGACUGCCUUUUCUUUCGGUGGGUCACCACUAUCCACCCUUCAUCGUCUUCUUCGAUUGGUCUUUUCUCUCCUUGAGGAUCCUCGUAUGAGAUUUCCUGAAAGAAUUGGACAACUAUAGGCUCAAAGGUCCCGAACUGGACCAAGCUUUUCCUUUGCUCAAAAAUCAAUCUCGACGAAGAAGCCUCAGACAUUAUCGUCACUUCAGCGUGGUUUGUUUGAGCUACUUCCUCCAAAUCUAGCUCAAUCCUUUUCUCACGAGCCAACCUUAGAAUUAGCUCCUUCAGCACGAAGCAUUUCUCUACUGGAUGACUGAUGACCCGAUGAUACUUGCAGUAAUUGGAUCAUCUACCUUUCCUGCUUGCUCAGGUCGUUUACAUUCUGGCAGCUGGAUCAGCUGCUUCUCUAGUAGUUGCUCUAGCAUGUCAGCGAUAUCUGAAUCAGGAAAUGGGUAAACUUUUUCCUGUCUUUCUUUUAAAGUCAGACGUCGCCUUUCGCUUCCAUCAUCCUUCUUUUCAACCCUCGCUUCCUUUCCUUUGGAGAAUUUCAGCGGGGUUGUGUUUACGACCAUAGAUUCUUUCGCGGUGCUUUUCACUAUCUUUUCAGCACCUUUCAUCUCUUUCUUAUCUUUCUUUACUUCAGGAACAAGAAAAUCUUUAGUUCCUCUAGUGGCGAUGCUCAACUCCAUAUCAUGAGCUCGAGUUGCCAGUUCUUCAAAUGUGCGGGGCUUUAUUCCCUGCAAAAUGUAGAGGAGUCCCCAGUGCAUGCCUUGGGUGCACAUUUCUACAGCCGACAGUUCGGUGAGCCGAUCUUUACAGUCAAGACUUAGAGCUCUCCAUCUAUUGAUGUAGUCGAUGACUGGUUCUCCCUUUCUUUGUUUCGUAUUUGUAAGCUCCAUCAUGCUUACAGUACGCCUGGUGCUGUAGAAGCGAUUGAGAAACUCCUUUUCUAGUUGUUCCCAACUCUCAAUGCUUUCUGGCUCCAGAUCAGUAUACCAUUCAAAAGCAUUUCCUUUCAAGCUUCGAACAAAUUGUCUGACUAGUUGAUCUCCUCUUGAUCCUGCAUUCUCACAUGUUUCGACGAAGUGAGCAACGUGCUGUUUUGGAUUGCCCUUUCCGUCAAACUGCUGGAAUUUUGGAGGCUGAUAUCCAAGCGGCAUUCUCAAGUUGUCGAUUCUUUUGGUGUAUGGUUUAGAGUACAUGAAAGAAGUCUGAGAUGGGCCUCCAUAUUGUGCUCUGAUGGAGCUUGUGAUCAUAUCUUGUAAUUGUUGAACCGAGAGAGAAGCCACAGAAGUUGAUUGUUGUUGUGGCUGAUUUUCUUGUACCACGUUCUUCCCUUUGUCAUCAACUUUAACGACAGGAGUUUGACUCGAUUCAGCAGUUUCACGAGUCUGCAUCUGCUCCUUUAAAGCUGCAAUUUCGUGGUCUCGUUCAUCAACAACCUUCAUCAGGAGAUUAAUUUUUCUCUCCAUCUCCGCCAUGGCAGUCUCGACUGCUACAUCAGCCAUCAUGACGGACAUCACAUCUGGGUGUGCUUCUUUCAGUGACCUGCUAGAGGCAGAAUCAUAAUCAUUAUAUAGAGGAUUUUCCUUGAUGACAAUUCCAGCUUUAGGAGAUUCCAUCAAUUGCUUCAGGAUGCUCUGCGCGAUAGCGGAACCUUGGUCUUGCCCAUGGAUGAUCCCCUUGGAACGACUACGGGUGAUAGGUCCCGUGUAGGUGUCGCUUGCAGCUGAAGAUUUGGAUGCAGCUUUCUUUGAUGCCAUUGGUUUGCUUGUAGAUGUAGAUGAUGAGAGAGAGAUGAGAGGUAGAGAUGGUCCCACUGGCGUGCCAAUUUGUUCGCACGAGAUUUCCGGAGAAAUUUAAUUCGUGGACUUGAACUUGGGUUGAUGUUGUAUUUUUGUUGAUUUGAUGCGAUGCGGUUCAAUCUCUAGAAUUUGAUCCUCUGAUUCUCUCUCAACUGUAUGUCUACGCUUGAUUUGGGGGAAGCGGAGCACGUGAUGUUCUUGAAGUUUGUUGAACGUCUACGCUUGAUUUUGGAGAAGCGGAGCACGUGAUGUUCUUGAAGUUUGUUGAACGUCUACGCUUGAUUUGGAGAAGCGGAGCACGUGAUUUUCUUCAAGUUGGUUGAAUGCUUACGCUUGAUUUGAGGAAGCGGAGCACGUGAUGUUCUUGAAGUUUGUUGAACGUCUACGCUUGAUUUGGAGAAGCGGAGCACGUGAUGUUCUUGAAGUUUGUUGAACGUCUACGCUUGAUUUGGAGAAGCGGAGCACGUGAUGUUCUUGAAGUUUGUUGAACGUCUACGCUUGAUUUGGAGAAGCGGAGCACGUGAUUUUCUUCAAGUUGGUUGAAUGCUUACGCUUGAUUUGAGGAAGCAGAGCACGUGAUGUUCUUGAAGCUUGUUGAACGUCUACGCUUGAUUUGGAGAAGCGGAGCACGUGAUGUUCUUCAAGUUGGUUGAAUGCUUACGCUUGAUUUGAGGAAGCGGAGCACGUGAUGUUCUUGAAGUUGGAGUCUUGGGAGAAAGUUUGUAUCUUCAAAACAGCUUCAAUCUUCGAGGGUGGUCAACUUCAGAAGUUAGGGAGUCUUCUAGCUUUUGGAAGAAUUCUCUUCUAGCUUUUGGAAGAAUUCUCUCUGGAUCUUCUAGAGUCAAAAUUUUCCAACCUCUACAAAUGAGAAGAAUUCCUCUAUUUAUAGAGUUUACUGGUGGGCUUUAUGGGUUUGAAUCUGGUUGGUCCAUGGACCAGACCCAUGGGCUCAACCAUAUGGACUUAGGUUAUAUUUAGUCUUUGGGCUCAAUUAAGCUUUUUUUUUUUUUGGCUUAAUUGAACUUAGUCCAAGUAAAUAAUAUUUAAUUGAACUAAAAUGAUUAACUUAAUCCAACGAUUAAUAUGAAAACAUGUGGCAUUCUUAGAAUGACCAAUUUAUUUAUUUUAACUCUUUAAUUUGGAGCAUGUGUCAAUUUUAAUUAGUCCCAAAUUUAAUUAUUUGUAUUUUUCAUCAUUAACUUAAUAAAUGAUGUGGCAACUUGUGAUUGGUCUCAAAAUUUCUUAUUCAACACCCAUUAAUUUCAUUUGGAUUAUGAUGUAAUUAGACAAGGGCAGAAACGAUCAAUCAUUUCAAAGAAACAACAAAGAAUUAGGUAACGACAGACCCGUAUGGACCAGAAAAGAAAAAUAAAAUAAAAAUCUUUAUUAAUUUUUAUUUUCUCAAGUAAAAUCACAUCAUGAUCAAUGGUAAGUACAUGCAGUAAUAAAAAUUUAAAAACAAAAUUGGUUUUUUUUUUUUUAAAGAAAAAGAAUACGUAACAUUCCAUUUGAUGAAGCACAUCGAACAAGUAACGCCAACCAUUCAAAUUUUAAAUGUAAUCAAGAAGCAUUAUUAUUCUUAUCGUUAAUUUUGAUUCACCACAAAAAUAAAAAAUAAAAACUAAUAAUUAUUUAACGAAAGGAAAAUGGGCAUUCCCGCCGCAAUAACGGCGAUUGGAAAGACAAGUUACCAAAAACUGCAAAACAGUCCCUAUAUUUUAAUGCAUUCACAUUGAAUAGCCCCCUGCUUCAAUCCAAUUUACAAAACUACCUCCACAAAUUUACAGAAUGGGGGAAGUUCAACCGGAUGCACUAUGAUCACUCCCAUCUCUCUCUGUUUUACCAGAACCACAUGAAAUUAUUGGAAUAUAGUUCGUUCAAUUAACUUUCUAUUCAAUAAUCGCAACAAAUAGAAAGAGAAAAUUGAAUAUUAUAUAUAUGGAUUUAUUUGAGAACUCACGGAGUAAUGAUCUCAGGCGGUUUGUCCAGGGGCUCACCGCUGGAACUGGAAGAGAGAGAAGGAUUAGAAGGGAGAGGAAGAGGAGCGUCUGAUAAUCCAGCGGAGUCUUCGAUGAGUGGAGUAGUAGUUGUAGUAGUAGUAGUAGUAGUGGUAGUGGAGGUUGGAGGGAAAUCGGAGUGGAUCCGGUGAGAGUGAGGGAAUCGAGAAGGUUGAGGUUGAAGAGAGUGGAAAUUCCAACCGAAUUCGGUGAGGAUGGUGGAAUCGGAAUCGGGAGGGAAGAAGAAAAGAGCGUCGGAGGGGGAAGUAGAGGAGGAAUCGGCAGUGGAGAAAAGAGGAUGAGGAGGAGGAGGAGGAGGAGGAGAAUCGGCCAUUAAUGGAAGAGGAAGGAAGAAGUGAGAGAGAGAGAGAGAGAGAGAAAGGAGAGGGGAAUUAAUGAAUUAAUUAAAGAGAGAAUUAGGGUUUGAGAAGAGAAAGGGGAAAUGGAGUGUACGUUGAAGAAAGAAAAAGAAGAAGAAGAAGAAAUGGAAAGGACGCGUAAUUUUUUCUUUUUCUUUUUUCUUUUGGUUUUGGGUUUUUGAACUUUUUGAAAGGUUUUGGAAAGCAAUGUCCCGUCAAUAUACAGUUGCGAUUGAGAGAAACGUAGAAGGAGGAAGGGAAAAAUAAAAAGUAAAUUUUAAAUUUAAAAAAUAGAAAGAAAAAAAAAAGCCUCAACUUCUUAAGAAGAACUAAGUCAUGGACGGAGGGUGGCUCCCCACGCGCCCAUCUAUUCAAUUUUACAAAUAUUCAUUAUUACGUUUAUUUUUUGUUUUAAUCCUUAACUCUUAUUUCAACUCAUUUUUCCUUUUUUUCAAAAAAUAAAAAAUAUAUAUUAUGUUUCUUUAUAAAUUUUUUUAAACUAAAUUUAUAAAUACACCUCGUUAAUUGUUGAUGAUUAAACACUACAAAUAAAAUGAUAUUUGAUUUUUAAAAUUUAAUAUUUUGUCUUAUAAUUUUAAUUAAAAAUUUGUGUGCUUAUGUUCGUUGAAAUUGGUGAAAGUAUAUCGUGAUAGAAAAUUUUAGAAGAAAUUACGAAGAUAAAUUACAAACACAUAAAACUAAAAACGAGAUUGUUAAUUAGUGAAUAGAGUCCUAAGAGUUUAUUUCUUUUAUGAAAAUUGGAAUAUCUAGCACGUGUGACAAUGACUCGGAAAGAUAUGACAAUAUUUUUGUUUCAAUUUCAAUCUUGGUCAUUAGUUGUUGUAGCCUUCCAAAUAAUCUCUAACUUUUGUAAUAGUCCAAUAGAACCAAACAUUAUAUUACAGCCUUUACAAGAAUUACAAGUAUUUUUGUAGUUUGGACUCUAUCUCUUAGUAAAACAUUUAAAUUCUCAUCCAAAUUUAAAAAUACAUAAAAAAGAAAAAGUUUAUAAAAACUAUAUUUUUAGUUUUCAAACAUUUAAAUUACUAGAUAGCAAAAUAAACAAAUUGAGGAGUGAAAGCAAAGUUUAAUAAUCUUUAACUUUUAAAAAAUUAAAAUUUAUAAAUCAAACAACAAUUUAUAAUUGAAAAAUAAGUUCAAAUGUUUAAUGUUAAUUGUAACUGAAGGGUUAUGAAUUAAGUUUUGGUUUAAUUUAUGUUUUAAAACGUGGAGAUUAAAAAAAAUUAGAGGAAAAGUUUAGUAUUAAAAUUUGAAAUUUAAGAAGGGAAAGAAAAGGAAUGAUAGUUAGAAAAAUGACCGUAAAAAGGGUAAAAUGAAGGCACUUUCCGACGAAAAGGAAGGCCAUGUUUUUCUGUACCAUCACCUAAAUUCUCCUUUUCUUUUUCUUUUUAUUUCUUUUUUGAUCUCUAAGUUAUUGUUUUUAUUUUAUUUAUUUAUUUUACACAAAACUUCCAAUCUCUCUUCUUCUUUUUCUCUCUCAUUGUAUUUAAUUUUACUGAAUGCAAUGUUUCCCUUUUUUUGUAUUAUCUAUAAACCAAUCAUUUCAUAUCUAAAAUGGAAAAAGAAAUUAAAAACACUUUUCAAAAACAAAUAAUAAUAAUGAAAAUGGAAAGAUCAAAUAAAAUAAAAUAAAAUAAGAAAGCUACUUUUUUAAAAUUUGUAAAAAUAUAAAAGAAAAAACAAAAUGAAAGUUUGUUUGGUUUAACGGACGAUCUUGUUUUUCUGUUUGUGAUUUUUGAGCAAUAAUUUAGGUCAAUUUGUAUGUUUUAAUUAGUUGAAAUUAAUGAGUUUAGGUAUAGAUUUAAUUGAUUAGUAAUAAUACUAAUAAUGAUCUAAUGAAGUAGUAUGAUAGAUAUGCACAUAAAUGAAAAUGGAUCUCGAAAAUCUCGAAAGUAGAAUUUUAGUAUAAGCGCAUAUUCCGAUGGUAGUUCAAACGUACUGUUCAAGGGUUACUUAAUUAAUUAAACUUUCUUAUCAAAGUAGCGAUCUAACUCAUUUGAUAAGAAAAUGCAUCCAAUGUAUAGAAUUGUGCAAACCAACUACGCAAGAUCUUGAUUGAAACCCUAGUCGAUGGCGACAUGAUGGCCCUAUUGGAUGGUGACCAUCCGUGUGAGUGCUAGCACAUCCCUCUUUUGAAUGGCACGAUGUUGACACAUUGCCGCCUCAAAGAAAAAGGCUAUACAUAACCCUAUAAAAGCAUCUAAUGCAACCUUUAUUCACAUGUAUUACACAUACUAGCUAUCGUUAUGAUUGUACUCGUUUGUUAUUCACUCUCCCCAAAUUUCACUUUAAGUUGUUUACUCGCGUUAAUUAGAAUAGCUAUAAUGUUAAAUUUUGUUGAGUUUUGAUAUUUUCAUUUACACGAUCACAUUUACUCCAAUUACGUCUAUUUUAGGGUUAGCUAUACCGUAUCUACAUAAUAUACGUGUGAAGAUUUAUCAUACUUAUUCUCCUAAAACAAGAAACAAGGUAUAUGGAAUAUUAUUAUUAUCAUAAAUAUUGGAGAAGGAAUUUAAGAAUUUAUACCCAAACUCACUUUGUUGUUUUAAUUAUUUUAAUUUUUUUUCCCCUUUCCCUAUUAGAAGCUAUAUUGCAUUUAGUAUCUCUAUUAUUUAUGGGAUUAUUAUAAUUUUAAGUUAAAGUAGCUAUCUCAAUACCACUAUUAGUAAAUAGCUCAUUACUAUUACACAUACAUUUAUAUAUAUUUAUUAUAAUCUAGAAAUGAAAGUGAAAUACUAAUUAUUAUAAAGUUUUAAAGGAUUACAUUUAGCAUGCAUCUAUGUAAUUACAAGUAGUUAUGUAAUGCAUGCACAUAUUGAAUAUAUUCUAAAUUUGUACGUGGAGAUCAAAUUCUAAUUAAUUAUGUUCUUUUAAUUUUAUUUUAACAAUAUGCAGAUGAAAACAUUCGAAUUUAUAAUCUCUCUUGAUCGAUAAUUUUAGAUUUUAUAAUAGUUUAGCGUUUCAAUGUCUGCACGAAUUGAGAUAUAUCCAGGUGCACUCAACUGACCUAUCGUAUAUUUUUCGAAAAAAAUAUAUGUAUAAAUUGAGAGGUUUGAUUCUAAAUGUUUUUAAAUUCAAAAUGAUAAGAAUCUAAUUUGUAACUCGAACCAUAGCUACAUUUUGGCCUAUGUACACACCUUAUUUUAUACGAUAAUUUAUUUUAGAUUUCACUAAUUAUUACGUGAAAGAGAUUAUUUUUGCAAGAUUUUUAUAGCGUUUGUUUAGAAAAACGUAAGAAUCUAAGUUAUUGGAUUGGUUUUUUAUAUUCUUCUAUUUACUUACAUUAGUGAUAUCAAUUUGGAAGGAAUUGGUGUCAGCAACAAAACAUUAUUUGUAUGAUAUAAUUGAUUUUUGGGAGAUUAAUUUCCUUAUAUUCAACACAUUCUUUUGUAGAAGCUUAGCGGAGAAAUUGCAUAGUUAUGUAAUUAAUUAUGAUACAACUAAUUAAAACCUUACGCAAAUUGCACAUAAUCUCUCAAAUAUAUAAGAGAAGAAUAUUAUUGAAUCUUAGCACUUAUGGAAAGGGAUUUGAUCAAUACCAAUUCCAACCCCAAUUUCAUGUCAUCAAUACUAUAAAAUUAUGGACUUUAAUGUCAGUUCAAAACUGACACUAAAAUUUUCUUUAUCAAAAUUUAAACUAUUAUUCCAACCCUAGAAUGAUUUCAUGUCAUCUACUUUUGUUUUUUUUUUUUUUUAAUUAAUUGAUUACAUAAAGAAAAUGCAAAGUAAUGUUUAUUAUUAUUAUUAUUAUUAUUAUCAUUCAUAUAAGCAAUUAAUUAAUUAGACGGUUACCAACUUGAAGUAUUAUUUUGGAAGUAGGUUUUUAAUAAUUUGAUGGGCGUUGGGUGAUGAGGAGUACUAUAGUAUAGUGUGUCCUCCCAAUUUUAAUGCCCUAAACCUAAGCAUAUAUUUAAUUAUGCUAUUAAAAUUUCUAAUCACAAUCCAUUUUAUUUUAUUUUUAUGCUCUAUGGGCCUAUAUAUUUUCAAUGAUAUAUAUAACAAUAUUCACUUUUCGCGGGUCACAUCCUAUCAACCUAUCUUAUGGUUGUGUGAUUGUACGAUAACUCAUAUUCAUUGUAUUAAUUAAAAAGUUUAAUUAACAUAGUUUGAUGUAGUACUUAGGGAUAUGAACGCAUAUGGUUAGACAUAAUAGCUAAUUUAAAUCCUCAACUUUUCUUAUUUUUUAGAUAUAUAUAACAUUUAAAAAAAAAUUAAAGGUCAAGUUUUUUAAUCGUUUUGUUUCUAAAAUGAAACCUAUAUAAACCUCUUUUAUCUUUAGGGUGGAUGAGUUUGGUAAUAGAAUUUAGGCUUUUAAAAUAGUGUAAUUCAAAACUCAGGUUUGGAUUGAACGUUUUGGGUCUGGUUUAUAAUACCCAAACCAAUUUUGUUUUCACAUUUCUGAACUCGCGCCCUCUUUUUCCACCAUUUUCACGUUGCACGAUCUCAUUUUCUUUCCGCCCUCAUUUAUUCCUCAUCCAUUCUAACGCCCAUCAAGUUCUUAGAAUUCUUGAUUAAAUCUCAUGCUUUGUUGUCUAUUUUUUACCAAAAUGGUGACGUGUAAAACUAUUCAUCUUAAUUCACUUAUUACUUAAAAAAAUCCUAAUUCACUUCCAAUUAUUUCUCCUUAGGAUAUAUAUUUUCAAAUGUUUUAAAAAUGGGAAUUUAUACAUUGGAGUUUUACUUGAAUGCCCCUUUUGUAUGCAUAAAUUUAGGAUGACAGGGAAAGGGUAAAAAGGUAAUUUUGAAGCUAUUGAUCUAUAGAUGUGGUUGCAAAUGAAGAGGUUCUCUAUUAUUCCAAAACUCCUUUUUAGGGAAAUUUAAUUUAAGCUAAUUUAGAGGGUCUUGUUUUAGUAAUGAAGAAAGAGUACUAAACCUAACAAGUAGGUUUGGUAUUAUUUUUUUUUUUUGAUAUCCAACUUCCCAUUUAUAAAAUUUUAGAUUACACACAACAUAUAUAUAUAUAUAUACCUAAAAAUAUCAACAACAUAAAGUGAUUAUAAUUUAAAGUACUAUAAAAAGCUUAACAAACAUGACCCUCAUCCGUGUUUUUGCAUCCGCAAUUUAAAACAUAAUCAAUCAAUAAAAAUAGAAUAAUUUUAUAAUUCAUCGUGUUUACCACACUUUAAUUACAAUGCAUGGGAAUCAAACAUUCGUACCUUCAAUCUUCAAUUAUAUAUUUUUUAUCGGAGUGAAAAUGAUAGACCGAACAAAUAUUAAUCAAGUUGAUUAAUCAAAACCGAUUUAACUAAGGGUAGUUGGUUGAAAUUGAUUUAAAGAUUUACUAGAUCAAUCUUAGUAAAUUCAUUAGUGAUUUCGUUAAAAUCCAACUUGUACCAACAAUGCUUACUCCAAAAUUUACUAAAUUUCGUUUACUAUAUUACAAAAAUAUAAUUUCAAAAUAAAAAUAAAUAAAUUAUUACAUUAUCUUAUUUUGUCAAUUAAUUACAAUAUUAGUUCAUUUUGAAUUUUUUUUUUGUCUAUUUUAAAAGUAUUCAUAAUAAAAUUAUGCUUUUUGUCAAAAUUGAAAAUUGAAUUAUUGAGUGAGUGUGUUUUAUAUUCUUAAUUUUAAGUUAAUUAAACAUUAUCCUUUUUUUUUCAAAGUAUAAGAUUUUGAAUAAAUAAAAAUGAAAAAGUGACAUUUUUAAUUCUUAGAACUGAAUAUUAUUUCUUAGAUUCUCUUUUUUUUUAAAUUAACUUUAAAAUUAAAAUAUAAAAAAUAUUUCAUACUACCUAAGCUUAAAAAAGAAAAGAAAAAGAAAAAGAAAAAGAGAAACAAUAUCAAACAAUUAUUAACAAUUAAAACUAACUAUCUAAAAUUAAUCAAAUCAACUAUUAAUCACAAAAUUAUAGUCUCAUACAUGUGAUGAAACAUACAUUCAACCAAUUCAUAUUUGUUCUAAAAUUUAGAGAAUCGUUGAAACGAGAGAUUAUUUGAUUAUUCGAUUCUUCGACGUUUAAAUAAAAAAAUUAAAUCAAAUAUAUCAAAAUAGAUAAAUUGGUUAAUAAUCUAAUACUUGAAAUGUCAAUAUAUAUGAUUUAAAAAAAAGAAGAAGAAGAAGAAGAAAUUGGUGAAAGAAAAUAGAAAGGAAAGGAAGGGAUUGUGAUCACGUGGUUGAUUGAAGGGAAUAUUUAGAAAAAGGAAAGAGAGAAAGGGGAACUAAUCAGAAUCUUUCUUCUUUCUUCUUUUCCUUUUAAUUAAUAAGCUAACUUGAUUCUAAAGCAAAAAUCUCAUUUUCACCCCCACACCCCUAUACUAUUUCCUUUUUACAUUACCAACCCAACCAACCUUUUCUUUCUUUCUUUUUUCUUUUUUCUUUUUCUUCCAUUAUCACCUUUUUAUAUAUAAUUUAUCUUUUUUUUGUACGAAGUAUAUAAAAUUAAAAAAAUAGAUCAUUCUAUAUGCGGAUUAACAUCUUACUCUUACUCCUUUCUCUUCUGUUAAGUACUCUCUAUUCUUUAUCGCUCUUUGCUCAGUAGUGAUGAGAAUCGAGAGCCUUCCGCACACAUGCAUGAUAAGGUGGUUUUGGAAAAAAAAAUCUCAAAAGUGGGGUAAAUUUCAUUAUCUGGAUAUGAAAUGUGGAUCAACGGUGAUUAUUUGCCUUUUCAAACUUACACAAUCCUAAAACUUUUAAAUAAAGUGUAUGGGUUGUUUAUUGAAGAAACUUUUUCUCUCAUGACUUUACAAUCUACACGAUUGUUGGAUUCCCUUGAAAAAAACAUACCUAAUUGGCUAAUUUCAAUAUCAAGUUGUCCCCUCUUUACCUAAAAAUCCACCGUAUGAUGUAUGAACUAAUUUCCUUUUUCCAUUUUUACCCAAACAACGCCACAUCCUUAAAUCUCUUACAAUCUUAUCAAAAUAGAAUCGUUAGCUUAGUUACGUUAAUCAAAAUUUCUCAUCCUCAAAAUUCACUUACCCACAAUCAAACAACAUAAAAUUUAAAAAAGUUGCAAUAAUAGAAAGAAAAAAAACCAUAGAGAUAAAAACGAUAGACGACCAAAAAAACAUAGCCGAGCAACAUCGAAGUCGAUUUGGGUUGAAAAACAAGAGGGUUUGGUUUCGGAAAGCUUUAAAUCAAGAAUUUUUCAAAAGUAUUUUUAAGUGUUAAACCGAUUAAUAACCGACUUUUAUCGACAGUGAUCAUCCCUAGUAAUUAAUGUGAUAUCUAUUAUAUACUCGAUGGAUGGAUGGAGGAAGGUUAAGAUGACGUAUUAGUGUAUAUUAGAAAUUGUUUUUCACUUUUUGGUGGGUCGUACGAGCAUUUGAAGGACACGUGUUAGAAGAUGAAGGAGUACCCCACAUUGUCAAUUCAAGAGAUUUUUGGAGAUUUCAACUUUUUGGUAAGUGGAGGGAAAGCCCAUUGCCCACACACAAAAUAUCUUUACUUGCUUCCUUAUCAUCUUCAUUACUUUCUUUCUUUUCUUUUCUCUUUUUAAUUUAGCUAAUCAAAUCUUAAGAUAACAUAUUUAGUUGGUUAUAUUGGUCAUUAUUAGUCCUAAUUUUAAUUAAUUAACUUCUCAUAAGUGUGAAUAAAUUAAUUAUACCUUUGUGUAUGGUUGAAAGGUCUGUCAAUAUUGGAAAUGAUAUCUCAAGACUUCCUUUUUUUACUAAAUAAAGUGAAGCCUUAGUUUUCAUAAUUCACUUAAUUUUGGUUUCAUUUGUGUGGUAAUUUAAUCAUCUCUAUCCCAAACAAACACACUCCAUCAUGUCAUUAACAAAAAAAAAAAAAAAUCUAAAUUUAAUACGAAAUUUCACAAAUAUCCUAAAUUAAAAUUUAUUAUUUUAAUUAGAAUUUGGUAUAUUUUUAGAACAAUUUUAACCUUAUUUUCAUUAUUUAUUAUAUAUGAUUUUCAAAGUUAAUUUUAAAUUAUUUUCAUAUUCAUGUUAAGCUAAAUGAUAACUUUUUUUAUUUAUGUUAUUAUUAUGGAAAUAGAUAAAUCCUUUUUCUAAUAUGAAAUAAUAUAAUAAUUAAAUAUAAAUUUAUAUAACUAUUUUCAUUACCUUAUAAAAAAAUCUUAGAAAUUUCUUUCCGAGCUGGCAAUGAGUUCUUCAUCUUUUUUUUUUUGUGAUUUGUCACGUAUAUGUUACUGUAUAUAUUCAAUAAUACAUACAUAUAUUCUUUUUUAUGUUUUGUGAUUUUUUUGUGUGUAUAUAUACCAAUAUAUACACAUAUUAUAUAUCCAUUCAAUAUCUUUUUUAUUUAUUAAUAAUUCAUUUAUGUUUUGUGAUUUUUUACAUAUAUACUAUUACAUAUAUUCAAUAAUACACAUUUUCUUUUCAUGUUUUGUGAUUUUUUCUUGCUGCACUUAUAUACCUCUGUAUAUAUAAAUUAUGUGUCCGAUCAAUUUCUUUUUUAUUCUUACAUAUAUAUUUAUGCAUAAUACAUAUAUUUUUUGUGAUUUGUUACAUAUACACUACUUCAUAUAUUCAAUAAAACAUAAAUGAUGUUAUCUUUAGUAUAUUCAAUAUACCCUAAUAUAUUUAGAAUAUGAAAUAUAAAUUCUUAUUAACCUUAAUUUUUUGGUAAAUUUUUUUCGAAAGAUCACUAUACCAGUUAGUAACUGAUGUUCUUCUUCUUCAUCGUUCAUACUUUCACCACUUUUCUAUUAUUCUACGUCUUUUAUAAAGAAAAUGGAAUUAAUAUUCAACAUAUUCGAAGAAUGAAACUUUUACUUUAAAAAAAAAAAUAUAAACCCUAACCCACAUCCCUCAUUGUUCUUCUUGUUGGUUCACCUUCUAUAAACAAAUUGAUAUAACAUUUCAUUUAUAAAGUAUACAUUGUAUUAUUCAAUAUAUACUAUACUUAGGUGGAAUAUAUGAAAAAUAAUGCAAAAUGAAUGAAAGAAUGGAGGAAGUGAGAGAUUGGACAGUGAGAGAAAGAUCUAGAGAAGAUUUUUUAACAAAUUAAAUAACCAAAACAAAAAUAAUUAAGAAUUUUUUAAUUAUAAUAUUACCAUUACAGAAUUAUUGACUUACCAUAUUUACAUAGAAUAUCUAAUAAAUACAAAUAUUAAUCAUAAUCCACUUUCCUUUUUCUUUUUUCUAUUUUUUUAAUAUAUUAAUAAUAAUAAAUAUGAAUAAAUUAGUCAUUUCGAUCUUAUAUUUGUGUAAAAUAUUAGUCAAUUAAGAACAUUUAUAAAAAAAAUUGAGAAAUUUAUGUCAAUCCUAUAAUAUAGUAUACAAUUUUAGACUAUAUGAAUUAAAAACUCAACAAAUAAAAGUGGUAGAUGGACCCUUCUAUCUUGGGCUUUCUACACUUCGGGGUAGGCCCAUUAUCAUAAAUAACGAAGGAAAAUAUUGAGAAAUACUAGCAAUUAGAUUUUAAUUAAUAUAACAACGUAUUAACAAAAUCAAAAUUUUUUGUAAAUAUAGUAAAAUACGUCCAAGUCUAUAACUAAUAGAACAUGUUGCAAAUGUUCAUUUUACUAUAUUUGCAUUUUUUAGAAAAAAUUAUAUACGUCAUUUUUAGUUUUUGCGUUGGUAUGUAUAUAUAUAUACUUGUGUGUUUUCUUUGAAAUAAAUUUUGUGGAUGAAUGAGAUGGAAAAAUUGGAGUGUGGUUCCCACAAGCUACAAAAUCAAAAUGAAAAACCUUCAACCUAAGUUUAAUUUUUUUUAAAUCUUAUUGUAACAAUUGACAAUUGACACUACUUUUAUCGAUGAAUACCAAAAUUGUUAUCAAUGCAUUGAUAUUGAGUAUUGAGAGACAUUGAUAGGGAGUGUUAUAUGAGUGUAAGCUUGAUUAUGAGUCUCCACCUGAUUUUCCUACAGUGAGUAUUGAAUAUAUAGUUUAGAUAGUCAGUAAAUUCUACUACAUGCAUGUAUUUAAUAUCAAACCAUCUAUUUGAUAGGUAUGAAUAUAUAAAAGUAGUAGCAGGAACAUAAAUGAAAUAGAAAGAGUAUCAAAUUAAUUAUCUUAAUUAAUAACAAUAAUCUUUCCAUCUAUUUAACAAACAAUUUUUAAUGCACAAAACCAAUAGGAAAAACAAAGGAUUUGAUUUAACAUGCCUGUGUGUGAGUAAAUUGGAACAAGAAAUUCAUAUAUCUAACUAAUUACAUUUUUAUCAAUUAAUCUCAUCACUAAUCCAUAUAACAUUUCAGUAAUAAUUACACAAUAAGUUUCUCAAAUCUAAUCUUUUUUAGCACUUAUAAUCAAAGAGUGGCCCUUUGUUUCCAUUUUUUCCCUCCAAAUACUAAUCUCUACACUCAACCAUCAAAUACCUAAAGAUCUUAAUAAGAAUAUGAACAAGAACAAAGGUUCUAGGAACUAACCUGCAUUUUGAUUUCACUCCAUAUUUCAAGCAACAGCGGGCAAGUCCUUCAGCCAUGGAUCCAAUGGCUUCCCCACAGAGUAAACUAUGAAACCAAUGCGUCUCAACUUCACGGCAUCGACAAUGUUGCGACCGUCAAACACGAAUGAAGGCCUUUGCAUAUCGUUGUAGAUUCUUUGGAAAUCAAGUUUCUUAAACUCGUCCCAUUCGGUUAGAAAGCAGAGUCCAUGAGCAUCUUUUGUUGCUUCAUAAGCAUCCCAUUCGACGCGAACUUGUUUUAUAGCAGUCGGCUCAUUGGCUGAAGAUGAGCCGGAUGAUCCCAAUCGAACUUCUCCGUUGAAAGGUCUCUUUCGAUGUGAUCUGCAGAAACUUGUGGAUCAUAUAUGCUUAGAUUUGCCUUUUCGCCUAACAAACCUUUGCACACAUCAAUGGCGGGUGUCUCUCUAGUGUCUCCUGUGUCUUUCUUGAAUGCGAAUCCGAGGAUGGCUAUCUUUUUGCCUGAGGCAGUGUUGAACAUGGAUGAAACCACUCGAUUGACAAAUCGGGACUUUUGGUAGUCGUUUAUUCUGAUGAUAUGUUUCCAGUAGUUUGCUACCUCUGGAAGGCCAUUACAUUCACAAAUAUACACUAGGUUUAAAAUGUCCUUCUGGAAACAAGAACCGCCGAAACCUACACUCGCAUUCAAGAACUUCGGGCCAAUUCUUGUAUCCGUACCAACCGAAUGCGAUACUUCACUGAUAUCUGCACCAGUUGCCUCACAGAGGGCGGAAAUGGCAUUAACUGAAGAAAUCCUUUGAGCUAAAAAGGCAUUGGCAGCUAGUUUUGAUAGUUCAGCAGACCAUAGAUUAGUACACAGAAUGCUCUCAACAGGCACCCAGUUAGCAUACACAUUUUUUAGUUUUUCUAUCGCCUUAAUUCCCUCGGGAGUUUCCGUCCACCUAUAAGAACCCGGUUGGGAGUAAGAAGGUCUUGAAUAGCAGUUCCCUCAGCAAGAAACUCAGGGUUUGAGAGUAUUUGGAAGUUAAUCCCGUCGCUGUUGUGAGUCAAUAUCUUUUCAAUGGCCUCAGCUGUCUUCACAGGGACAGUAGAUUUUUCAACCACAAUCUUGUCCGAUUUCGAAACAUCGGCGAUCAUCCGAGCAGCGCUUUCCCAAUACGUAAGAUCAGCUGCUUUACCAGCUCCAAGGCCUGAGUUUUAGUUGGUGUAUUGACAGAAACAAAGACUAUAUCAGCCUCACCAACGUGUUUCUCAACAUCACAGCUAAAAAACAAAUUCUUCCCUCUACAUUGUUUCACCACAUCUUCAAGGCCUGGCUCGUAUAUAGGAAGCUGUUCGCUAUUCCAAGCAUCGAUCCUCGAAACCGAAAUAUCGACUACAGUUACCUCGAUGAAGGGACACUUGAGAGCAAUCACCGCCAUUGUUGGGCCACCAACAUAGCCAGCCCCAAUGCAACAGAUCUUCACCAUUUCUAUUUGAUUCAAACAACAAUCAGAAGCAAAUGAAAGCAGAUGAUUACCUAAACUAAAUGCAACUAAACAAAAUCUCUAAUUUUCUCAUCAAUAACUCCACAUAACACAUCUCCAUUCCACAAUCCAAAUUCCAAACUACUAAAACCGUAAAUCCUUCCAACUCUAAUCGAGAACUAAAUUUUGGUAUAACAAAAUAGUUAAGACCUAAAAAUGCAUGCAAGUAAUCAAUUCAACAACCAGAAAUCCCUCUAAAAUCACAGUUUCCACAACAGCAUUCAACACCCAGACCUAAAAUAGAUUCACCCACCUACAAAAGUUUUGUUACUGGGCAAAAUCAAACUCAAAGAAGCAAGAAAAGAACAAAGUAAGCAAAACCCAGAACAUAAAAACACAAGACAGCAUUGUAAAAUCCAGGAGAAGCAAGAUGAAUGUGUGGUGCAAUCUUAGAACAGAGAUUAUCUUAGAGAAAUAAGGGGAAAUGAAAUCUUGAGAUGAAGAACAGAGAAAAUAUUACCUCGAAUAUUUGAAGACACUCAAAAUUUACUUGCAAAGAAUGAUGAAAUACAUUCAUUACAUAUAUAGGCCAAGAACAGUUUGCGAUUCAAUGCAUUAACAUUUUUGUCUUUUACUAAGAAAAUGGCCCACUCUGUCCUCUGUCCAUUUACUCAAAACCUAUAAAUUUGUCCAAUUAUCAACCGGUUUUGAUUGCUCUACCUUCCUCGUUCCUAACAAUUGAAAAGAUGAUUAAAUACACGAUACGAUAUUAUGUCUUCAAUCAUUAAACUAGUUUGAAAUUAUGUUUUUCAUUUUAACAUGUGUUUCUGUGUUGGGUUCUGUUAGUUGAGUUAAACUCUUAUUACACAAUUUGAUUUUAAAUUAUUAAAAGAACGAAAUAGAAAAACAUUUAUACAAAUAUUCAAUCUUGGAUUUUUCACAAGAUAUAUUCUUCUUCCUGGUUUAAAGUGUAUUUAUGUGAUAAGCAUUUAAAACACGAUUUUAAAUAUCAAACUCGUCACUCAUGCCCUCUUACAUAUUUUUGUUUUGCAAUGACCUAAUGUGGUUUGUUAGACAUAGAGUCACAAUAAGAAAAGACAAGUGGUUAAUUACUGACUUCUAUGAAAAAAUUGUUAUUAUAAAAUUUGGUGGAGAGACGAAUUUCUCAUGAAAAUGAUUGAGAAUGUUCCAAACAUAUAACAUAUAAUGAUAUAUAUAUCAUUGUAGAUAGGACAAUGAUAUGCCCAAAAACAAAGUGCAAAUAAUUUAUUGUCUUCUUGUCUUGGUAACCGAUGAGGUGGAAGCAAAAUGUGAUAUGAUUUCACAUGUGAUGUGAAAUAAUUUGUUCAAAUGAAGUCUUGGUCUAUAGUUUAUCAAAUAUCAAAUUUGAACUUGAAAAGGUGUAGAUAUUAGAGUACGUACAAGAUCGGAAUGGAAUAAAGUUUGACUAGCAUCAACCAAUCCCUGGAAAAAAAAUUUGAAAAAGUAACCUAUAACUCCAAUUUACCAUCGUCCAAACAUUUGAUUUUUGUUUUAAUUUGAUGCUUAAGUUUAAGAUUCACACUUCUAAUAUUGAUUUUUUCAACCCAUACUCAAUUUUCGAUUUUUACAUUUACGUCUAUUGAAACUUAGAGCACUAAAUUGAAACCGAAAUCUAAAAAGUGAGGAUUAAAAGUGUCACCAAAUAAAGAAAAACUAGACCAAAUUAUAUUUUAUAGAUAUCCAUCCUUAAUCAUUGAGGAGUGCAAUUCUACCAAGAUUGCUUUUAAAAGAAAAUGGAAGUAGUUAUAUAAAGGUAAUUAACAUAUAGUCCUGUUGACAUAAGUUCUUGUAGUAAAAUUAAUUAUGAAAAUAAAAACUAGUAAGUUCAAAUCUAUCACCGUAUGUAUAUAUGUAUGUAUGUAUUGCUGAACUAAAAAAUUUCAUGACAUUUUCACAUUUGCCAGAAGAAAUUAAAGCGCACAAUUAGGACAACUCAAACUGUAGCCAAUGACAACAAAAGCAAAAGCAUCAAACACUGUAGAAUUACCCUUCUUUCAUAUUCUCAGAUUUCUAAGAAGCCAAGAAAUUCUUGAACCAUUGAACCGAGUCCUUGGGGUAUCUCUUCAGCUUAUCCUUGUAAUCAACAAAGUAAAGGCCAAACCUUGAAGAGAAACCAGCUGCCCACUCCCAAUUAUCCAAUAGAGACCAUACGAAAUACCCUUUCACAUUGCAACCGUCUUCCCUGGAGAGCACACAAACCAUAUUUACAUGACCAGACAAGUAAAAUCACCAUUGACAAUUGAAGAACAUGAAGAAGAACUCACUUGAUGGAGGCCAAAAGGUUUGUUAAGUAGCCGUUGUGGUAUCUGAUCCUCUUCUCAUCCUUCAAUGCUUCUUUGAUUGGUUUGAAUGGGUCAUUUGGGUCGUCCAUCCCUGUUAUAAACCCAAUAACAAUGAAUCAGAACUUUACUUUUUGUCCAAAUUUUGUGUGCUUCGGAGAGCUUUGUAUUUACCAUUUUCAGUGAUGAUCACUAGUGGGUUUCCAUAGUUGUUCUUUAUGUAAUUCAUCAAACUUCGCAUCCCACGAGGAACAAUGUAUAACCAUAUUGAAUUUGCCUGCAAGUUCAUAAAAAAAAAAAGAUUGAGAAAUUAGAAUAGAUUAGAGUCUUCGUUUUUUUUUUUUUUUUUUGUCUUCUGGUUUUGCCAAAGAUUAAAAGCAGUAUCCUACCCUUUCUGCAAUGGUUUUCAAACCUUUGAAUGCUGCAUAAACAAAAAACAGAACCAGGGGAGAGUAUUAAAAGGGGUAAACUUCAAAUUCUGAUUCUGAUAUUUCUAAAGUAUUCAAAAGAGGUGGUGAUGAUCAGAUUAAGAGUUCUUACGAACGGUGAGGGCGCCAGAAUCAGCAAUGGUGUCAUUCAGUGUGGCACCAAUAAUGUUUGAGCGGUUGUGAUAAGCAUAAAAUGUGGUGUAGUGAUUUAUACCAACAAAAUCCUGAGACCCUUUCACCAAAGCCGCCUGCGACGGGGAAAACGUCGGUAGUCGCCCUCCGACCCUGCUUCUCAUGGAGGUUGGAUAAUCUCCAAAGAUCAACGGGUUGAGAAACCUGAAAGUGAAUGAAAAUAAAACCCAAUAUGAUCACCUCCAUUGCACCAACAGAAAUAGAAUGAAACUGAAACAUAUUGCUAUGAAUCAUCACCAUCCAAGCUGAAAAUCUUGAGCUCUUUUGGCUGCGUCAAUGUCUUCGGUGGAAUUCGAACCCGGUUCAAACCAGAUAACAUCGAGCGACAUCCCAAUCACUCCCUUCUGUAUCCUCUGCAAAAAUUCCACAUUCUUUCAUCAAAACAUUUCACAAUCUCAUUCAAAUGAAACCAGAAAGCAGAAACAGAACAAUGUAUCUGAGGAAUACGAAUUUCAAUGAAAAAUAAAUCUCAUUAUAGGGUUUUUUUUUUUUUUUUCUUUCUUACCUUGUACUUUCUUCUGUAAAUAUCGGAGACAGUAGCAUGAGAGAGGAGAAGAUUAUGGCCAACAAUGUAAGGCUCGGUAGCAGAGUUGCCAUCCCGACAAGUUAUGUGACCAAGAAUGGAGCAACGUCCCGGCGCCUGGAGACCAAGAUCGUAGCCCUGUGUAGCGAAGGUAUGGGGUUCGUUGAAAGUAAUCCAAUGCUUGACUCGAUCGCCGAACUUCUGAAAGCAUGUUUCGGCGAAAACCGCGAAAUCGUUUCUGCAAUUUCGAAGGUGUGAACUGAAAUGGAAUAGGAGUUAGGGUUAGGGUUAGAGUUAGAGUUUAGGGAAUUACUUACAUGAUUUGGGGACUGAGCCAGCCAGUGUAUUUGUCUUCUAGGGCUUGAGGAAGGUCCCAGUGAUAGAGAGUGACAUAGGGUUCAAUUCCUAAUUGAAGAAGGAGAUGCAGGAUUCAAACACCAUUGAAUUAAAGAACAAAGAAAAUGGCGUGAAGAUGAAGAAGAUUCAUACCAUUGGCUAAUAGAGCAUUGAUGAAAUUGUUGUAAUGAGCAACUCCUGCGUCAUUCACCUCUCCAUUUCCAUCUAAUAUAUCAACCAAAAAUCACAUCACACCUUAUUAAUAAUCUCUUUUUUUCAGUUAAUUACUAAUAAUCUUUUUAACCAAAAAACAAAAUAUUUAUUAAAAAAAACAAAACACCAACAAAAAUUCAAUUUAUUAAAUAAAAAAUUGCAAUUUAAGGUUGUGUUACAUAAAUUUUAAACAAUUAACUAGUUAAGUCAGUUUAGUCUCAUGAUUUUAAAAGUUCCAAUUUUAUCAAAUCGAACUAGAUAUCUUUGUUGAAAUGAAGAAUAGUAUAUAUAUAGGAAAGAAAAGAGGAUGAAUUACUUGGGAAGAUCCGAGACCAAGCAAUGGAGAAUCGGUAGGCAUCCAUACCCAUAUCCUUCAUGAGUUUAAUAUCUUCCUGUUUCCAAAAUUUUCAUUUUUAUUUAUUUCAAUUCUUCUAAUUACAUUUAAUAGUUUGGUUAAAUCUGUUCUAAAAAAUGUAUGUGUGUGGUUACCGGAUACCGAUGGUACUGAUCCACUGUCACGUCUGCAUUACUGAAAUCAAGCACCUUUCCUGUCAAUGUCAUUAAAAUAAUAUAUUUACAUAUAAAAUAUUACAAAAUUUUAUAAUAUAUCAGUGUUUAUCAAUACCAUUAAAAAAAAUAUAAAUAUUUAUCAAUAUCUAUCGUUAAUAGAAUUUAAAAUUUUAUUAUAUAUAUUUUAGUAUCUUCUCAAAUUCCUUUUGAUUUCUAAUGCAUAAACAAUAUCCUUGUUUAACCUAUCGUGGCAUUAAUAUUGAGAUAUUGUUUAACCUAUUGUGGCAUUAAUAUUGAUCAAGAAGACAAUGAUAAUAUGUUGACUAUAUUUAGAAAUUAGGUUAAAAUUAUGUUAUGUUUUAAUUCGAAAUAUAUAUAACUUAGUUGACAGAAAAUUAUGCGUUGUUUUUUUUUUAAAAAAAGAAAGAAAUUCAAUUUUGUUUUUGGUAUGACAUGCCUUAUUUAAUUGCAUCCUCACUCGAUUAAUAUUAGGAUAAUUAUUUUAAUAUCAAAAUUAUUGAAGAUUAUUUAUAAAUUUAAGAAAAUGUCACAAUUUAUUUGAAAAAUAUAUUUCAAUUAAAUAACAUUUCAAAAUUAUAUUUAUAAACAUUUGGAUGAUUCUAAGAAAAGAAAAGUUAAGUUGCAGAUCAAACUUAAAUUUUGUUUAUACUUUUUUAUUUUACUUUUUUAUUUUAUUUUUCACUUUUUUUAUAAAAAUAAAUAAUAAACAAUUACCAAAUGUAUGAGAAAACGUAUCCCAAAUUGUGGGUCCUCUUCCGUCAUCUUUUACCGCGCCUUCGUACUGUAUUCACGUAGAGUUAAAAAAAACAAAACUACAAUGAGUGACAGAGUCAAUAAUUACGUAUAGAGUAUCAUGUCACUAAAAGAAUAUAAAACUAUGGUAAAAGUAAUUCAUAACUUCAUAGUUUAACUAAUUUAAUACAUAUUACGAGUGUUCUCUACAAACAUUUUAUGUUUCAUAAUUGAACUAAAUUCCCUAAAUGAAAAGAUAUGAUUAUGAGACUAGCAAAUACACUAUUUGAAGAACUACAUAAGCAUCGUGAAUAUUAUCAUUAUGUUUUAAAAAAUUUAGUCGUACUAGAAAUUUAAGAUGAUGGCUCAGUAAUUUUGAUUGUUAAUUUUCUUUUAAAAUAUCUUUCCAUAUUGUCGUGUAUUGUCAAUAAAAUUAUAAUAUAUAAUUAACUAAGUAAUAGAACUCUCAAAUUUAUUUGAAAAUUAGGUAGAAAAAGGAAAAAUAAAAAUUAACAGUAUUUUUUAAUGGAAUAUUAUUGAGAUGUAAGAAUGAAAUUUUAGGUCGGAAUCUCGUAAAUUCCUUUGUUGUUAUUGUUUUUCUUUUUAAACUCAAAAAUAUUUAUUUUAGUGCUAAAUUCAUAUUUUAGACAGAAAAUUUGAUAUUAAAAUAAAAAUUAAAAGUACAAAUAUGAUUACAAUUGAAAAAAGAAACAGAUGAUAAAAACAAUUUAAACAAAUAAAAUGACAACAUGGUGAAGAAAUAUUGGUAUUCACACGUUCUAAUAAGAUUGUAAUGCAAUCCACAGUUCGUAUCUGAAUUGAUCUUUUUGAGUCCGAAUAAUAUUAUUAAACUUAUUUCGUUUUGAAUUUUUUUUGUUAAAACUAUAUUUUUCUUUGUUUCAACUUGGGGUGAAUAAUUUGAAUUCAUAACCUCAAUUCAUGUCGACAUUUCAUUUUUGUUUUGCCCUCAACUUGACAUGCACCACUAUAUUGACCCUCAAGGAUUAAUAGUAAGGAUUAUAUUUCAACUUUUCAAAUAACCCUUACCAAUAUUUGUUAACAUUCCAUUUUCUUGAAAGAAACAAGAUCGUGUGAGAUUUUAAGGAUAAUUUUCUAGAAUUCAUGAUAUUUUUGUAUCAAAAUGAUCAAAUUACAAAACACAGAUUGUUUGCUUAUUUUGGAAAUGCCUUUUUCUUUUAUUUCUACAAAGAGAAAACUUGUUUUCAAGUAAUUUAAAAACAUAAAACGUAAAAACACAAAAUGAAAGACAAAUAAAUAGUUACAAACCCAGAUUUAAAUUACUUGAAGCAAAAACGAUAGUAACAAAGGCGUGCAAGAAAAUAGAAUUAACCUUAGAGAAAAAGUGCAAGGAAACAAAUCAGCUUUCCUCUUAAAACCAACUCCAUUCAAAGCUUAGUUUACUUCAAUCAAUCUUCUUUCUAACAGUUUAAAAUUUGAGGAAAAUUAUUUCCCUCUCUCUAAAAUUCUUUCCCCCAUCUUUCUAAAUUUACAAUAAUCAAUCAAUUUACGUUACACAUUUUCAAAUAACCAAAUUUCCAAUUAUAUUAAUAUACAAUUUAAAAUUUAGCUUUUUGUAAAUAAGAAUCCAAAAUAAAUUUAUUUGGAUCGUUUUUAUUAUCGUUUUUUAUAUAAUUUUUUCAAUUUAUCAUUUUUGCUAAUUAAGAUUUUUUCUAUUUUUAUUUUUUAUAAUAAUUUAUCUUUAUUUUCUAACUCAAAUUGUCAAAAAUAUAAAAACUAACAAAAUAUUACGCUUUAAAAAUGGAAAUAGUUUUUUUUUUUUCUACUUUUGAAAAAAAAAACCCUCUUUCUAAACAACAAAUAUACAUACAUCAUAAUAGUUAAAAUGAUAUACCUAAUAAAUAGUAUAUUUUAAGGGUAUAUAUAUAUAUAAAGUAUACACCAUUAAAUAAAAUAACUAUAACAUUAAUUAAUAAUAUAAAAAAAAAAAAAACUGCACAAAUUAAAUCCUUGUCUCUUUCACAUGCCAGAAAAAUUCCAUCCAAUAUAGUUUUCUAUACUUUUUCUAGAAUAACAUUAAUAACAUAACAUAUUUAUUUCUUUUUAUGAUUACAAAUCAAAUCCUUAUCUCUUUCCUAUUAUCCCUUUUUUCCAGAAAUUAUUUCAAUCUAUGCAGUGUUCUUAUGCCCAAAAAACCAACAACUGCAUGUGUGUUCAAAAUAUACUUUUCGAGUAAUAUAAUAAAAACAAAGUUACAAAUAAUAAUAAAAAAAAAAGUUUUUCUAUAUUUUGUAAAUAUUUUUAAUAAAACAAAAGCACAUACCUCUGAUUGAGUUUAAAAUCACUUCGGUGGAGAAAUUGAUGUUGCAACGUUAAAUUUUAAAAAAAGUAUUAUAACCUUGAAAUUGAAAAAUACGAUUGUUCUAAAUAUUGCAAUAUUACAAAUAACGCCCUCAUAUAUUAUUUUAAUUAUUUCUAAAACUGGACAAAUUAUAUAAACUACCAAAAAGUUGGAUCAUAAGUAUUCCAAUUGUACCCUCACUCAAACUUCCUACUACCCAAACCCAAUCCUAAGCUUAAAAAAUUGUAAAAAUGGUAUAAGUUUGAGUGUUUAAUUUCUAUCGUUUUUUUAUUUAGAAGUAUAUUAUUUUCAUAUCUGGAAAUAAUAAUUAAGAAAACGUUUAAAAAAUAAGAAAUAAAUAAAGGAACCUGAAAAGCAGAGGAGGCAGUUCCGAAAACAAAUCCGCUCGGAAAACUGCUUCUGCUGAUCUGCGCCGAACAAAUCUGAACCCCUAAAACCACCAUGAUUACGACUAACACGCCGACGCCUUUGGUGGCGCCUCUUCCUCCGGCCGUCAUCAAGCCAAGAGAUGGAGAGAGAGAGAGAGAGAGAAUUUAAAAUUUUGGUUUAGGAAUUGGAUUUUGUCGGUAUUGCGUCGGGCAAAUUGAAGUGAAUAUGAAGAGAUGGAGAGAGAAUAAUGUGAACGGAGAGUGAGGGUGGCGAGGGUGGGGGAAAGAGCGUCAAAGAGAGAGGGAAUUUCUGGCUGUCCUUUUUAAAAUUGGCAGCGCAAUUAGCUUUUGUGUGGAAAUCCAACUAAAAAGAAAGUCCCUCAGUUCACACGCCUUCCAUUCAUUUAUAUACUUUUUUUUAUAUAUAUAUAAAUCACUUUUUUUUUAUUAUUAUUUUUCCAAUUAUGCUUUUUUCUUAGGCCACAACGUAUUGUUUUGUUGUCAUCAAUCCUAACUUAACAAAUUUAUCAUUUUCAUUUAAUCUUUUUUAAACUAAAGUAUUAUUUUUUAUCUUCAAUUUAAGUAUAGUUUAUGAAUUAAGUAUCAAUCCAUCCAUUUUUGGAGGUUAAAACUUUCGUAUUUCAUCAAUAUAAUAAAUUUAUAUAAUAAGAGUACACCAAUACUUUUUAUCAUUUAAAGAUUGAAAAAAUGUGUUAAUUAACAUUAUUGUAAAGGUACCAUCAUCGCUAAUUGAACCAAUUAUUCAUCGUUCUUAAGAUGAGUCCAAUGGAAAUGAUUGGACAAGGCAUUCCCACUUCUAUCCAAUGUGAACAUGAAUUUAGUAUUUAUUGGUUGCAUAGGAGAACACAACCCAGUUGAUGAAAAUAUUAGUUUAGUUUCAAAUACUAUUUAAAUUAUCAACCUCCUUGUUAAGAAAUUUGUACGUAUUUACCAUUACAAAUUAAGCUCUUUUCUUUUUCUUUUCCUCAAAUGAGUAAAUAGUUUUUCUAAUAUAUAUGCGAAUUACUGUUAUCUUUGAAGACUAAAAGACCUAGAAUAAUACUUUUGUUAAAUUGUCUUUUGUUUUUAUUUCAUAGCUGGUUUUUUUUUUAAUUUUAUUAUUAUUAAUUGAUAUGUUGAAAUUAAAUAGGCAUAAAUUUUAAAGUUAAAUGACUAAAAAUGUGUAGUUUUAUUUAAACUUUAUGCAUAAUCCCACGUCUAUGUAUUUAGACCAAAACGAAAAAGAAAAUAGACACAAAAUGGAAAGUUGUUUCCUUUUAUAAUUUAACUUAUUUUUAAAGUUUUACAUAAUCAUCAUUUCAAUAUUAAACCUUUAAGAGAAGGAGAGGAAAAUAACUGACAAAAGAAGAAGAAAAAGUAUUAAAUAUUUGGCUCCGUUUAGUAAUCAACUAAUCAUUUUAUUUCCAAUAAUUUGUCCUAUAGAAUUCAAAAUUUUAAGAUUAGAUGAGUGAUAUCGUUAAUCUAUGUCCACGUUAGCACAUGUUUAACUCAAAAGUGUAAAAAGUAGUGUUAAUAUUUGGGAAUAUUAGGAAGAUGUAGUUUGUACACGUCAUUAGUCAAAGGUCCAGCUGGGCAAUAACUCCUCCAUUUCAAUUGGAUAGGAAAAGAAAUUCUGACGAUCCUAUCACCUUUUGCCACGUUCACACUGCAUGCAUUGCGCGUGAGAUUAUCGUUUGUUAUCAAUUAAUAAAUUUGGAAUCACAAAUCAUAUAUGACAAGUUCCAGAAUGUUCUACACGCAACACUAUGCUAAGGAUGACGUGGUACAUUUUAUUUCUUUUUUCUUUUUUUAUAAACUCACAUGAUCACAAUUUUUUUUAAAAAUAUUUAUAUUAAAUGAUAAAUUUACAAGUUCAUAUCUUGUUAGUUUGAAAUUUGGUAGGAAAUAAGAAUAUUGAAGUUUAAUUUUAUAUAGAUGUUGAUGAAAAUAUAUUCAUGGCGUUUAUCAAAAUCUAUCGUAAUAUAUUUUAUAAAUAUUUUUAUUAUUUUAUCAUUUAUAAUCACUUUUAUAUAUUAUACUUUAAAUUUCACAUUUAAUUAUUGUUAUUUCAUAUUGUGGUAUUUUAAAAAUGGAAAAAUAUAUGUUCUAUAUAGUAUAACAUGUGAAUGAUGCAUGCAUCAAAUAGACCAAAAAUGAAAUAUUAAUUUUCUCCUAGCAAAGUGAAGAAAGAGUACAAGGAACAAGUUCUAUAUGUUGCAUUCUCUCAUACUCCAUUCUUCUUUAUUUCUAUUCAUUAAAUUUCCUAAAAUUAUACAAACUAUUUUUUAGAAGGAACAAAACACAUUUAUAUUAUAUAGACCAUUUUUUCAACCUAAAAAAAUAGACUUAAUCGAAUUUGUUCAAAUCAAAGAAAAAAUCAAGUGAAAAAGACUAAAAGAACAAAGUGUACGUUUCAAGGGCUCUUUGAGUGUGCAUGCGUUUAGUUCAAAAAACUUCAAAGGGUCCAACUCAACUGAGGUGGAAAAUUGAAAUUUUAGAUAAAUAAAUAGUGCAUAACGAGUCUUAAUGAAUUAAGGCAAGUUGUUAAGUCCCUAUUUCUGAAACCCUAAACUUAAGCAUGAAAUCUAGUGUGGUUAAACAAUACUCAUCAAACUAAUGUGUGUGCAAACGUCUUCUAUUAUAUUCGUUUUGAAAAAUUUGCUAACCAUGUGUAAACAAGCAUACACAGGUAUGUUUUAUAAUGAUUUGUGUAUCAUAUAUAUAUAUUUUGUUAGAAAAGCAUGUGGACCUUUAGCCUAUUAUAAAGUUACCUCUAUUGUUGUCCCACAUUGAUAAAAAUGGAAAAGAUAAAUAAGUAUAAAUAGUUAAGUGCCACUAAAAAUAUAUAAAUUAUGUUGAUGUUAAUAGUAUGACCUAACGGUCACCAUGCGUCUUGUCCCACGUCUACUUGAAUAUCACCUCAUACAUAUAUUCAAGUUUCAUGUAGACGUGAAAAUUCAAUUUUUUUUAACAUUGUAACAAUUGGGCUCCUAAACUUAUAUAAAGGGUCGAGAUACAUUAUUUCAAAAUCCUCCAUCUACUAUCGUCUUUACUAUUUUACAUUCAUCAUUUUCUUUUUUAAUUUUUCGCUAAUUAAAACGUUUACUAUUUUCUUAUCCAACUAAAAUAGUUUACACACUUAACACAUACUAUAUACUUUAAGUUUAAUUUUUAUCAUUUUAGAGGCUUAAAUUCUAUUAUUAUAAGUUUUGAGAAUUUACGUUUUACCAUUGAAAAUUUUACAAUAUGAUCACAAAUUAUUACCAUAAAUUAGGGUAUACUUAUUGUUUUGUAAUAUCUAUAAUGAAAUUUCAAUGGUUGAUGUGUUUGGUGAUUUAUUUGAUUCUUGAUGGAAUAAAACAUGAGAGAAAAAAAUUAAUGAGGAAUGUUGGUGUACCUAACUUAUUUAGUUUGAAUCAAUUAGUUUUGUGUAAAGAAAAAAGGUUUGCAAAUUAAAUUACCAAUAAUGUAAUAAUACAUUCAAAGAAGUCAUCCAUAGCCACAUUGAAAUAUAAUGUCUUUGUGAAUUGUACCCAUAUAAUAUUAUCUCUAGCCACAUGUUACAAACUUAUAUGCUUAAAAUCAUUAUUUAGUCCGCCAAUAUGAAUAAAAUUACUUUAAUGUAAAUUUGCUAUACGAGAUAUUUUCAAUUCUAACAAAAUAAAUUAAAUUAUUUAAAAAAUAUAUUAAAAUUUUAGAUUAUAUCAUCCAUUCAUUGUUUACUAUAAUUAUAAGAUUCAAAUAAAAAAUAAACUAUCGACUUAUUGUUGAUAAAACGUUAAUUCAUAUGAUAUAUCUGAUGUUGUAAUAAAGGUCCUAAAAAUGUCAAAAAGCAAAGAAAAAAAGAAGAAGAAAAGAACUACUUUUUAGAAAGUUGGAAACUCUUUUAUAAAUUUUGGUUUAAAAUUCAAAGAAAUAAAAGUAGAAUGUAGUUUACACUUUAUGACAAUGUAGACUUAAAGUUUAUAUUUGGUUUCGUGAUAAAUUUUAUUGAAAUCAAGUGUCAAUUUUUAUUACAUAGUAUUUAAAUUUUAUGAAUAAAUUUAUUUUUUAAUAAGUUUACCAACCCUAUACGUUUAAAAUAUUUGAGUAUAAAUAUAUAUAUUUUUAAUUCACGCUCAUAAUUCACACCAAAACGUGAAAAAGAAAUCAAACCAUGUUUUUAUAUUAUAUAUAUAUAUAUUGAUGCCUAUUUUUUAUAUAGAAGUAUGCCGGUAUAUAUUUAUUUCAUUUAGAGGUUUCUAUUUCAUACACAACCGCCGACUUCAACAUGUAUAUAUGUCUAUGCUAUUUAUGUUUAAAUCAUGUAAUAUUGAUAAUUUUUUUAAUGUAAACACAAAAAUCUUACCUAUAUUUUUCUCUCUCUCCUCUUUAAUUUUUCUACUAAAAUUAUUUUAUUAAUAAAAUGAUUGAAUGACUUGUACUUUAGUUAUGUUAAAACAAUGUAAAUAUUAUUAAAAUUUAUUAAAUAUACAUAAAAGGUAAUAAAAUGAAGCAAGAAAUAUUAAAGUCCUUCGUUUAAUUCUUUAUUUACAAAAUCAUUAAAUGAAAUUAUGAAUUCAUGUUUAUAAUUUCAUAUUUUCAAAAGAAGUAUGAUUUGGGUGAAUAUUUUAUCCUUUCAUUGUAAUUUUUUUAGUCUUACUUUAGCCACAAUUUUGUCAUUCACAUAGAUUGAAUGUGUGUGGUCAUUUUCACAUUAAACAAAAUAAAAAUUACAUUUCGUUAAUUAAUUUUUCAUUUCCUCGUUAAAAGAAAAAUGUUUUGAUUCCAUAACGGAUAUUAGUUAAUGCUCUAUGUUAUUAGGGGCUUAGGGCUACAAUGUAACUUUUCUAUAUGUUAUUUACACAACUAAAUUUUUUUUUAUCAUACUUUAUUCAGAUAUAUAUAGAUUAGAUGGUUAAGUUUGGAUAGUAUAAGCUUAAAAUAUUAAGAAAUAGAAUUUAAAUGGUGAAAAAUGAUACAUUGGAAGGAUGUAAAUAUAAAAAAGAUAUAAAUAUGUAAAUGUUGAAAUGAUUGUUGUUAAAUUAAAAAUUUUAUUGUUUAUUGCUAUAACUAAAUGGCUCAUUUUCGUAGCUUUCAAGUCUCACGUGCUCCACCCUCUCCUAUUUCUUUCCGUUUAGCAUCUCAGUUCCGCCGCUGCCGUUCUUCGGUUCGUGCUCGUACAGCAUCCUAUCUAACGGCUCUGCACUGAUUGGUAUUCUCCCAAUCUCCAUCUAUCUCUGUCUCCUCACUCGAAUAACGAAAGAAUGGAAGAUUUGUAUGUAUUAUCAUGAAUUUUCCAGCAUCUCCCUUCUCAGUCGAAGUAAUUCAAUUAUCUUUUAAUCACAAGCACGUCCGGCGGCUAUCUUUUAAUUGACCGAACAACCUCAACAAUAUUUCUAUUUUGUAUAUUUGUUUAACCAAUGAUGGUCUGAAUUUACUGAAUAUAAAAGCCUUCCUAGUUCCUUAUGCUUCAUACUUGAUACUCCACCCUCCAUUUAUUCUUCUUCUAUUGCUAUUAUUAUAUUUCUAUAGUUGAUUGUGUCAAAUUAGAGUCUGUGACUGUUUUGAAUGAUAGCUGGACGUGUUUCGAUUGAUUUUUUGUAUUGAAAAUGUUUAUGUUUUGGUUUUGUUACUUCUGACUAAUUGGAGAAGUUUUAUAGCUCCAUUGGUUUGGGCAUGCUGUCUUUUUUCGUGUGUGUGUGUGUAAAUUUCAUACAUCAAUGAAAUUUGUUUCUUAUAAAAAAGAUGAAAGGUUUGGAUGAUUUGAUUUGAUGAUUUCUUCUGCUGAGAUUGCAAUUUGAAACUGUGUGUUUUGUUUGAAAUGUUUAUGAAUGAUUCGGAUGCCAAAUCGAUGGUGUAGUUGUCUUUCCGCUUGCUAAUUAAAACAAAGUAAUAAAGUGUAAGUGAACUUUCUUUUGGGCCUGAAUAUCGAACUCGAUUGGGAAAACACCAGGACGGGCCAAAGAAACAGUUGGUUGGGAUGAAAUGUUAAUUACUAAUUCUGAGGAAGUUAAUGAGGUUGGACCUUAAUUAUUGAAAGCCAAGGAUUUUUUUUAUUAAAUACAACUUGCUUUUCAUUUUAUGGAUGGAGUUCAACUCUUUGUUUUUGGUGCUGUUUUUAGGUCAGUUUUUGUUUAAUCUCCCAGAAAUUUUUUAUGAGUGAGUGUCUAGAUAGCUUAUGCCUACCUUGAUUAAUUUCAGUCAGAAAGCAGAUGUAUUGAAGGUCAAUUAUCAAAUUGAAACUACCAAACCCAAAUCCACGGCUACGAUUUGAAAAAUGGAAGAUGAAGAUCCACCACUCGCUGUUGAGAUUGGCGAAACAAUUACAGCUGUCCAACAACAUGAAGAUGAUGGUGUUUCUGUUGGCGUUACAGUUAUCACUGGAUAUCUUGGAGCUGGAAAAUCCACCGUAACUUACACUCUGAAACUUUUCUCCUUACCCCCUCACUCGAUUUCUUUUUGCAACCAUCAAAUUUGAGCUAUAGAAUGAUAUUUCUUGUUUGGUGGAAUUCAGUUGGUUAAUUACGUAUUGAACUCGCAACAUGGCAAGAGAAUUGCUGUUAUACUGAACGAAUUUGGGGAGGAAAUUGGAAUUGAGAGGGCAAUGAUAAAUGAAGGUGACGGUGGGGCGUUGGUUGAGGAAUGGGUCGAAUUAGCAAAUGGAUGUAUUUGUUGCACUGUUAAGCAUAGCCUGGUUCAAGCCUUGGAGCAACUUGUGCAGAGAAAAGAAAGGUAUUCUCUUGCUGUUAUAUUAGAUUUCAAUGGAGCUUCUGGAAAAAUACGUUGAUGAUUUAGUCCAUCUUACAUGUCUCUAGGCUCGAUCAUAUUUUGUUGGAAACUACGGGAUUAGCCAAUCCUGCUCCACUUGCUUCUGUACUUUGGCUGGACGAUCAAUUGGAAUCAUCGAUCAAGCUUGAUUCAAUUAUUACAGUCAGUUCUUAGUUCUUGUUCCUUCACGGUUUGAGUUAGUUUCCCCAAGUUUACUUUGAAAUACGUAUUAUAGUUUGGAAAUGUUUGUGAAUUACAUGCUAUAGUUCUUAAGUUUAAGAAUGUGUCAUAUUUGAUGUUUGAUUGAAAUUAAGAUAGCCAAUGAAGCUUAAGUUUCCCCUUGUUCUAAGGUUAAAUUUAUGUGUUGGCUUUCGUUUCUAUGUUGUUAUUUAAUUCGAUUUUGUCUGUCCAUGAGUGGAUGCAUGGUGUAGUAAAUACUUGAAUACUUCAAACUUUGUUUUAAAUUCUUUUUCUAGUGAUCUAAAGGUUUCACCCAAUAAUAACUCCUUAUGUUCAUUUGGAUGAAUACAUGCAAGUAGGUCGUGGAUGCUAAAAAUCUUCAUUUUCAAUUGAAUGAGCACCGUAGUUCAUCAUCCUUUCCGGAAGCAUUUCAUCAAAUUGUGUUUGCGGUAAUAUUCUUAUUCUUAGUUCUUUUAUGGUCUCUGCAAGUUUGCAAUCUACCAUUAAUUAUGUCAAGCAACUGCUGGGAUCUUCAUUAUUUAUCAUUUUUCAUUCCAUUAUUACUUAGUAUUUUUGUUUGUUUUAUUUCUGUCUCUCUUGCUAUAUGGUUUGUUUUAUUUCUCUCUUUUGCUAUAUGGUUUGAUUUAUUUCUCUCUUUUGCUAUAUGGUUUUCUCAAUAAUUGUCCAAUGUGCACGCCUAAGAAGUUGUGAAUCUGUUAUCCAUCAUAGGAUACUAUUAUUCUUAACAAGGUCGACCUGGUCUCUUCAGAUCGUGGUGAUGGUGCAUUGGAGGACCUGGAGUAUGAAAUACGUAACAUUAAUUCUCUUGCCAAAAUCAUUCACUCUGUUCGGUGUCAAGUAGACCUGUCUCUCAUACUAGACUGCAAUUCCUAUAAUGCUGCUGUUAGUCAUGAACUUAACUUUAACCCCUAGCUCAUUUUCUAUUUUCGUAUCUGUCCUCUUUAUCUGAUACUAUUCAGUUUUUCCCCAUUUAGAAUACAGCUCAUUUAGAAGCAUUAUUGAAAGAAAGUCGUUCUUUAUCUACUCAAGAUCUUCAUGAUACUGGUGUUCGAACCUUGUGCAUUAGUGAAGACGACAAAGUUGACCUUGAUAAGGUAGUUUCAUGUAUUUCCGUUAAAGAUUGUGUGGUUCCAUCUUAUUUUAAAUUGCUUAGGCAUUUAAGAAUUUCACGACCUGGAGUGUAGCUACAUCCAUGCUGAUUUAUGUUUUAGCCAAAGAUCCAUUGAAGUAAUAAUAUUCUGAACUACUAAUAUAUCUUUCCAUUGGCUUGCUGAUCUAUUUAACGAAGUAUUUAACUUUCGAAGUGAUUAUAUAAAUCGCUCAUCUUCACUAUGAGCAUGAUGAUUGAAGUAGGCACAAUUCGUACAAGCAAUAUAAGUUACUGCCUUGGAAAUUCAUGAUAUUUCUCAUUAAUCUGCAUUUCAUAUCCGAUCUUCGUGAUGGUGCUAUUCUCAUGCCUACCUUAUUUUCCAAUAGGUUCAUUCUUGGCUUGAGGAGAUACUUUGGGAGAAAAAAGGUGGCAUGGAUGUGUAUCGUUGCAAAGGAGUUUUAAGCAUAAAAAAUUCUGAUCAGCUACAUACUUUGCAGGUAGAUCAUGUGCUUAAUCCUAUAGUUUUUGCUGUUGGAAAAUCACUCCAAACAGGCUUCUUCUUUAACCAUCGUCCUAAUUUCCCAUCCUUUGUUAAUCCGAUUUCCAUGCAUUCCUUUUGGGUUUUGAACCCAAAUGAAAAGGUUGAGUUAUUGCGACGAUACUUCCUAACAAGAACACUCAAGAACAACACAGAAAACUCAAGAAGACUCAAAUAUAAAAACAUAUGGAAAUAUACUGUAAUAUAUACUAUAAGAGAAGUAGCAAGAUAACCUUGCCUUCCAAGUGGGCUAGUCCAAAGGAAAUCUCACAAAAUUCCUCACUCUUUGCUCCUUAUCUCAUUCCCUUUAUUUAUAAGCCCUAACAAUACCAACAUUCUACUACUAAUCCUACUAUAUCUCUAACUAGGGAGCUCUUUUUCAUGUUAAUGACUGAUUUUGAUUGGUGGCUGACAGGCAGUUCGGGAAUUAUACGAGAUCGUUCCUACACGGCAAUGGAACAAUGGAGAAAGUCAGACGAACAAGAUAGUGUUCAUAGGUAAAAGACAUACAAAAAUAUCCACGCCCACGAACUCUUACAAUGUGUUUAUUGUUGAAACUUACACAUUGUCCAUAAUAUGCAGGUCGUAAUCUGAACGAGGAUGUUCUCAGCAAAACCUUUAGAGAAUGUGCUUCUAUCUCCUAAAUUUUGUUGCUUUACUAUUUGUUCGACUACAUAGGCAAACAAGGAAGAGCAUAUGCGUAGGUGAAAUGGUUUUGUAUGAUUUCGAAGUCCUUUUUUUGUAUGUUAACUUGGAUAAGUGUUUCCUAAAUUAACUGUCUUUCGGUCUUGUUAGAGGUGUUCUAGAAAGGUUUUUGAUGGAAAGAUUUGUGAACGAAGGUACCAUUGGAUGUUUAUUUUUCUAAAUGAAAGUUCUUUUGAAAGUUAACAUUGCAAUAAAAAUAUCAAAAAUUAAAUUAGUUAAAUUAAAAAAAAAAAAACAAGAAUAACCAUUAAAUUAUAAGAUUCCCAAAUUAUAGUUUUAAAAAUUGAUUGUUCGUUCUCUUGCGAUUCGUGCUUCUUCCAUUUGUGAGGGUGGUCGCUAUUGGCUUUCUUCUCUUCUUGUUAGGAAUUAAUGAAGUUUAUUUUCUUCAAAAAAAAAAGAAAGAAAGAAAGUUAACUUACAACGUGUACAUUGAAGACAAAGAAGCACAUGUUUUGAAUUUCCUAACUUAAAUUAUGAAAGAUCAAAAUAAUAUUGCAAUAAAACAAAAGUUUAGAUUAUAUAUUGAUACUCUAUAUUUUAAAAUGCCUCAUAUUUAAAUUAUGAAAUAUAUUUUAAAAAGUGCUGUUUUUUUAGGAGUUCUUAUGGAUUAAAAAAAAAAAAAAAUUCUUAUGGAUUUAAAAAAAUUUAAAAUUAUUUGCAAAAUAUAGAGAAAAAAAGAAAUUUUUUUUUGACAAAAUAUUUACCCAUCCUGAAACAAAAUUUACACUUGAUUAAAUAUUUAAAAUAUUUUUUUAAAGGUUCUAUUUUUAUGAUUUAUAAAAAAGAAAAAAGUAUAAAAUUUAUUAAAAAAAAUCAGAUAGAUUUUGCUCUAUUUUACAAAGGAAAUUUUUAAAAAUGGAAGAAUUUGCAAAUUAUCUAGGUCUAUAGCAAAAUUUUAAUCCAACUACAAAAUGGAUAACUAAAAUUUUAACCCGAAUUCAAACUAUUCAUUUUUUUUUUCUACAUGUAAAUAGUUUUCAUUUUCUUCUUUCAUGUAAAUUCUGGUUUUGUUUUAUAAAUAGUUUGGAUUUUUUUGAUACGUUUAAAAAUGUCAUUCUUUUAAUAAUUCAUUUGUUUGUAUUUACUCCUUAAAAAAAUAAAAAUAUACUUUGAACGGCUAAAAUAUUGGUUAUCAUAUUGAUUAAAAUUCUGUCAUGAAUUGUAUAUAUUUUGUAAAUUCUUCUUAGUUUUUUUUUGAGUCGUUCCAUUUUUUAAAAUAAAAUGAAAAUAAGUAAAAUUGAGCCCUAAACAUAUGUAUGUAUCUUCCUCUCACUUUCAAGUCUCACGUGCUUCACCUUCCGUCUUUAGCAGCUCAGCUCCGCCGCUGCCACUUUCCAGUUCGUUGUCGCCGCCGUUCUUCCGCUCGUGCCAGCGCCGCAUCCCUCCUAACGGAUCUUCACUGAUUUUCCACUCGGUUGUUGCUACUGGUAUUAUCCCAAUCUCCAUCUAUAUCUAUCUCUUCACUUCAAAAACAUAAAUUAGGGCUUUUCUAAUGAAAAAAUGGAAUAUUUGUUUUUGUUUUUGUUUUUCUUAAUAACCAUACCCGAAUAGCAACGAAAAUAGAAGAAACCCACCUUUUGAUUUGCUGCAUAUGUCUGUCAAUUGAGGCGUCCAUAUAUCUCUUUGGUCUCUGCUGAAAAUUUCCUUGCUUCUGCACCAAUGAAUUUUCCAGCUUCUCCCUCGUCAGUUGAAGUAAUCCAAUUCUCUUUUAAUUCCAAUGAGUGUUUUAUUUUAAUUGACUUCCUCAACCGUAUUUAUUUUUGUAUAUUUGUUGAAGCAGUACGCUGACCAGCGGUACUUUAAAUUUACUGAAAAUAAGAGCCUUCUCUAUUCUUUGUUCUUCAUGUUCUUGAUUUAAAAUAUGUAUAUUUGGGGUAAAAUAUACAUAUUUUUGGAAGUGGAGGGCUCAAGGGACCUAAAGAUUCUGCUUUUAUAUAUGGUAUGGAUUUUUUUAGGAUUCUCUUAAUGUUUUUGGAGAGAAAACAAUAUCAAUGAUUCUAUGAAAUUUACAAAUUGAGUAAUGGUAUGUUGAAAAUUAUAAUUGUUGUAAGCAGAGACGUGUGAAGUGUGUACAACAAUAUGAACCUAGAAAAGGUUUCUUGUGAAUCAAAGCUUCAGGAGAUCUACCAUUAAAUUUUUGUUGUUGUUCCUUUAAUUGCAUAUAAUCCGAUAGAAAGAAAGAAAAAGUUGUUGAUGUUGAGCCGGAGUGCCUGUUUUGCCUACUUGAAUGAAUGGUCCUUGAACAGGCUGAGCUGCCAGUAUUUUAUGUUGAAUGAGAAUGGGAGUGUCAAAAUCCAACAAUUAAAGGCUGUUUGAAAGUGAACCCAAAUCCUGUUUGAAAAUUGGCAGUGUAUGAAAAGAUGGUCUUGAGUCUCAUGAUCAGAGCUGCAUAAACAGCAGCAAUUUGGGGAGAGACUGAUCCAGGGGUGCUUUAUUUGAAUUGUGUUCCUUGUGUGGUUUCAUUUUAGAAUUUUAGGCUGAUUUCCCAUAAAAAGAAUUUUAAGUGUCUUUUGAAAGAACCCCUUUCUGAAUCAGUUUGUAUUGUCUGGAUGAUUGCUUUCUGACAUAGUUGAUAGGCCACUGACUUUUUUCCCAAUUCCCAGUUGACGUACUUACAGGGUGUAAUGAUUUCUAUUAACUAUUAUUUAGCUUACCGACUGUUUUCAUGACGAGAAAUGAUUUGUUUCCCAGUGGGCACAGUAGGUGUCUAAUUGAGAGAGAGAGUGCUGAGUGUGUAAUUUUCUGCUAUUGAUAAGGGAGAUUGAGUUACUUGUUUCUGAAUAUGAGAAGUUUUGAGUUUAUGGCCUUAACGCUUGACUUCUUGCUUUUAAAAUCAAGAUUUUGAUAGAACACUGAUACAAUGUUUCUAUUUUAUUGAUACCUUCAACAGAAUUACAAUAUAAAAGAAGUAAAAUAAUAAGUGAAAAAAGAACCCUAAUCGUCUGCCCUUCCUCUCUUUCAAGGAAUAGAGAAAUUUUGCAGCCUUAUUUCUUCACCAAAUUCUUCAUACCCUUCUUCCCUCCCCAACUUCCUAUUUAUAACCAACCAACUACCAACAAAUCUAAUUACACUUUUACCCCUGUCCUAUACUAAUCUAGGUAUCUAACAGAUUUCCUCUAUCCAAAACUUCUACCUCCAUCCCUUAUUUCGCCUGAAGUCUGUUCAAUCAGCUGAACUUCAGAUUACAAAAAUUAGCCAAGGGCCACAAAGAAUUUGUAGAAUGGUGACAAAUCCAUUUAAAUUCCGGUUUGGUGCAGCCACCACCCACACCAAUCUUUUAUACUGUUCUUUGGAUCUGAAAGAGUAAUCUGAACCUCUUUCUGUCAUCUCUUGCCACUCUAUAUUCUGAAUCUAGGUAGCUUCUCUGGCUUUUGUGUAUUUCUUCACUUUGAAAUGUUCAUAGUAAAUAAUUAUUGUGAGGAAAUGAACGUGGCCAGACCUUAAUUAUUGAAAGCCAAGAAUUGUUUGACUAAAUACAACUAGCUCUUCAUUUAAAGGAGUUCAAUCAUUAAGAGGUAAAAAGGAAGACAUAGUUUCAAUAACUAACUAAGAGGUCAUGUAUUCAAUUCAUAGUAGCCGCCUAGGAAUUAAUUUCCUACAAGUUUUCUUUCACCAAAAUGUUGUUGGGUCAGACGAGUUGUCUCGUGAGAUUAGUCGAGUUGUGCGUAAGCUAGUCCAGACACUCACAGAUGUAAUGGAUGGAGUUCGACUCUUUGCUUUUGGGUGCUGUUAUUUUACUCAUAGCUAUGUUUCUGUCUUUCUUAUUGCAUUUGCAUCUGUAAAAAGUUUUCUUGUAGUGUGUGAUAUUCAAUCAUAAUUUAUUUGUGUUAUUUCUCUGAUCAUUUCUUUUAAUGGUUCUACUUAUGUUAUGGAAUUACUUUUUUUUAAUAAAAAAGACACAUAUUCUUACUCGAAAAGUUAUUGAUGUUUGUUGUUUUUUCUUUGACUAUUAACAGUUGGAACUUCUCUGCUUGGAGUUCUCCAUAAAAUGGCGUUGGUUGUGAUCUGUGGCCAGCCAUGCAGUGGGAAGUCCACUGCUGCACUCUGCUUAGCUGAAGCUCUCAAGGAAUCAAAUGUAAAAGAAGCCAUUAAGAUUAUCGAUGAAACUUCUCUUCAUUUGGAUCGGAAUCAGAGCUAUGCCAACAUGCCUGCUGAAAAAAAUCUAAGAGGAGUUCUCAGAUCUGAAGUUGAUAGAUCUGUAUCUAAAGAUAGCAUUGUCAUUGUAGACUCUUUGAACAGUAUAAAGGGUUAUCGAUAUGAACUGUGGUGUUUGGCUCGUGGAACAGGAAUCAGGUAUUGUGUGCUGUACUGCGACGUGGAAGAAACCAAUUGUAGGAAGUGGAAUGAAGAGCGUCGUGAGAAAGAAGAAGCGAGCUAUGAUGAUAAGAUAUUCGAAGAUCUUCUCAGAAGGUUUGAGAGGCCAAAUAGUAGAAAUAGAUGGGACUCACCAUUGUUUGAGUUAUUCCCACAUAAAGAUGGAAUCGAGAAAUCAUCUCAGGUUAUUCUAGAUGCUGUAUCAUACCUGACUAAAACAGUGGACUCAAAGUCUCGUGAUGUAAAAAUUUUACAGCCAACAAUUGCUACUCAGAGCUCUCGAUUUUCGGAGGCUAACUCUCUAUAUGAGUUGGACAAAGCGACGCAAGAGGUGGUUAAUGCUAUUGUAGAAGCCCAAUCUCUGGGAGGGCCUCUGAAUAGUAUCUCUCUGGGUCAGGAAUUACCAACCAUUGACAUUUCAAGGUCGGUUGGACUACCGGAGCUUCGAAGACUACGGAGAACUUUCAUCAAACUAACAGGGCAAACUAGUUUAAGCGGACGACCACCACCCUCUGAUGCCGAGAGUGCCAAGAGGAUGUUUGUUGACUACCUGAAUAGGGAACUGGGGACUUCUUGAAAGUUGAAACUAGAUUAACCUGAAUGAUAAGCUGUAUACUUGUAGCAUAUGAACUACCAAACUUUACAAAGCAAGAGGUAACAGAGAUAUCACUCUUCUUUCUGGCAACUUUGCCAUCAAUUAUUUAAGCUUUGUUGUUAUCGAUGUUUUUUCUCUUAGUAAUCAUAAUAUCUAUGUCCUCGCUGUUACAGAACUAUAGUCAUAUUCUGACAUGAGAUUUUCAGCUCAUACGGUUCCUUGAGGGUCGUAAAUAAAUCUAAGGAGCACAUCAGGAUUAUUUGUAGAUUAUGCUUUGGAAAAUUACGGUCCUUAUAUAUUCACACACACAUGAUAUAUACAUAUACAUAGUUAAUGAGUUAAUUCAAAGAGAAAAUGAGUGAAUCUUUGGUUUCUUCUUUAAAACGAGUUCCAAGAUUGUGUAAUUGUUCUAUUAAUGAGUUCAUACUUUGUUCAUGCUUUUGAUGUGAAUGAGUUUCUUUCUUUGAUAAUGCAUUUCAUGGGUCUUUUAAUGAGUUAAUUUUAUGGUUCGACUGCUGCUCAGACAACUCUACAAGAUAGGGUAUCUAUCGAGACACUGGAUAGGAUCGGGGAAGGGAGGUAUUAUAGAAGUGCAUUUAGAGUCAGAAGUACUUUCUUUAUAUGAGUAGGAAUAGGUACACUGAGAAUAGAGGAAGGGUAUCUAUCAAGGUCUUUCUUGAUUCCGGAAUUCUUAGAAUAAGAUCUCGAAUGAGACAAAGCAAUCACUCUUCCAGAGUAUCUUAGAUUAGGAGUCUUGCUUCCCGUAUCAUAAUAGGAGCUGCUUGACCAAUAGAGAAUAGAGCCGGAAGUCUCUCUUUUUGUUUCAUAGUCAGAAGUACUCUCUUUCUUGAGUUGCAACAAUAGGAAGAGCUCCUCUCAUUGUGCACAUUGAAUAAACCCUUCUCAGUUGUUUCAGAGUCAGACCUGGACAAGUUCUAGAGUAAGAAGAAGGGAGGGAGACAUGAUCGAUUGGAGGAGAAAGAGUUAGAGGUUAGAGAAGUUUCUCUUUCAUGAGUCACUGAACUAAAUAGGGUUCGAAUCCGAAUUGCAAAGAAACCUGUGGGGUAUGCUGCAAGACAAAUAUCUUAUUUCGGACUUCUUAUCAUAUCUAGCCUCUUAUCUUCUGCUGCUGCACGUCUUGGGUUGAGUCGAGCAACUUUUCCCUUCAUUAACUUCUUCCACGGAGAAUGACAUUGCACUUCUGUAAGAGUGAAAGAAUAGUGCGAGCUUCCCCCUGAUGUAGUCGAAAGAUCUAAUCCCACCGACCACCCUACAACGGGGGACCCGGACUAUGAAGAAAGAUCUCCUGCUUCCGCAACUUAUGAAAAGAGGUCAAGCUCUUGGCUCCUUUCCAUGAGAGAGAUCAGAUGUGCUCCGGUGGGGAAAGCUGAGUAGUUCAGUUGCCUUUGAUUGUGAGUUCAUUGGGAAUCUUUGAAAUCACCUCAAGGCUCAACCUAUAGAGGAGAGGAACUUGGUUAGUUUAUCUUUUCCAAUACUCAAAUAAAUAUUAGAUAAAUGUCUAUUUUUAUCUUGAAUUUCAAUUCUCAUCAAAUUAUUGAAGUUAAGUGCCUGGAAAAUAUUUUGUUUUUAUAAAAGAUUAUGUUUUACAAAUAUAUUUUAAAAAGUGAUUUUAAAAAAAUAAUAAUAAUAAAGAGCGCUUCAUAUACUCUUUAUAGAAAAAACCACUAAAAACCAAAUUUUAUCACAUUUAUUUUUCUAUGGAGUGUUUUAAGUUAUAAAAUAUUAAGUAUACAAAAUUGGUAAAUUUUCAAAUAAUGAAGACAUUAGGGAUUUUUCUUUUAAUUAAAAUUAUAUACUUUUUAAUUGGAAAAUUGUCAAAGAAAAAAUUGAACAAAAUACUUACCUUUCAUAAAAAAAAAUGAAUUAUUAUUCUUUUAGUGGUUUUUUCUUUAGAAAAAUGAUUUUUUUUUUUUUUUUUUUGAAGUUUAUAGUUUGUUUUUCUUUUUAUUACUCUUGAAAGUAAACCUCUUUUUAAUUUGAAUAUUAGUCAAAGUUGAAUUUUUACAAAACUAUUGUUGAAAUUAUUGAAUUUAGUUUUACAUUACGUUUGGUCAGACUAUUGGAUAGAACUUAGAAGGUGGAAAUCGCAACAUUUAAUUUACCAAUUGAUGGAACAAUGAAAUUAAUUUAAACGAAUUGAUAUUCAUAUUAGAUUACGGUAUCUAUCUCUCACAAAUGUUAAAGAAAAAAAAAUAACAUAUAUACACACACAUUGUAAUUAUCAAGAUUUCAUACUGAAUCUGAUUAUUUUCUCUCUCAAUAUUUAAAGAAUUAAAAUUUUUAAUUUAAAUUAGUUAAAAAAAAAAAAUUCUCUUCUCCCAUUUAAGAAUAUCAAUGUCGAGAUUUCAAUUUUAAAGAUACAUUGAUGAUAGAAUAUUAAUACCAAAUUUAUUUAGAUUAAUAAGUAACUUAUUCUUACUCAAAAAUAAGAUUAAAAAAUACUGUUAUUAGUAGUCAUAUUCUUAAUCCAUGAUUAACAACAAUCCACGGAUUGUUCUAACCCUAUAAUGAGCAUUCAUGUCCAUCACAUUGCGAAUCAUAUUAAAUGGAGGCAAUGGGUUUUCUUGAGUCAGUCUCCUUGGAUGAUCAGAGAAAAUUAAUGGCAAUUUUUCACAAUUGAGCUCCAUUCAUUCAGUCUUUACAUCUUGCAAGUCUUCAGCCGUCAGUAAAGCAAAAAGGAAUAAUUAAUUUGAACAACGAUGAAUGAAUCUGUGAAUGUUUUGCUAAUCAAGCUACGCACGGACAAAACUUGAGGGAGGAAAACUCAAUUGAACGAAAAAAUCAAUCGGUGAUGAAAGAAAAUAUGCUGCAUUCAACAUAGAAGAAUGUACUGAUAAUUAAAAGAUAACUAUUUAUUACCAAGUUGGUUUGUUGUUUAAUUACAUUACAUAACUAAUUUUCAUUAGUAGAGACGAAAUACUAACCAUGAACAUCUUCCAAAUAAGUUGAACCCAACUUACAAGUUAUGUUCUGGACUGCAAUCCACCUUUUUGUUUGUUGGUUCAAUCAAACAUGAUGUGAGGGGCUUACAACAAGUUUGAAUGUCUUCCUCCAUUCCCCACAUAGGUAUGACCUCUCCCUUUCUGUAAUCAGGCAGAAUCAGCAAAUCAGUUUAAUAAGAUCUUUUUUAGGUGGUUUAGCCAACGAGUAAAGUUGUAAAUUUUAGGAUAUUGUGAACUCAUUAGAGCUGAGUUCACAGGGUAAAGAGGUAAUAAAGCAUAAAAUUGAUGUUUUUUAGUUUGGGACCCACAAACUCUUAGAGUCAAUAAGGAGGUGAGUUCGCAAAUUCCUCCCCUUCCAACUCGUCCUCCUCAAACCCCUUGAGCCAAACACCUUCAUGACACUUCUAACUAUAGUGUUCAGAUAGAACAACAGAGACAACAUAGAAAGCUUAUCAAAGUAAAUAAUUUGCCUGAAAUAAGUUACUGUUUUGAGAGCAUUAACAAGUCAUUUAGCCAAAGCAGUAAUUGCUACGACCAUCCUAGAGGUGAGAGGUCAGAAUUCCCCAACAUCCAAUUUUUGUAAAAAGAAGAAACAAGCAGUUAGUUCUGAGUAUAGGAUCCUUACUGUGACAGAUAACAGUUAACAACCGCUGAUUUUUGCCACACGAAAGGUUCUAAUAACCAACCUUCACUUUUCCAACAACAUCCUAACAUUUCAACCAUUUUUGAGAUGUAUCUUCCUUUCCACCUAGUUACUGCUUGGCUGCUAAGUGAAGUCACUCUCGAACUUCUUUCCAGUUUCUAAAGUUAUUAAACAAUUAUACGUUUUAUAAUAGACAUGCAAGAGAAAAUAUCCAUUUUUUUUCCUCGUGUUGUUAAUUUCAGUAUCUCAAAAUGCCUAUCAUGUUCCUACUGGAAGCACAAUGACUGCAAUGAAUCCAGUCAAUUGACAGUGAUGGAUAUGGAAGCUGUCUUGUACAAUUUGAUGUGUACAAUUGCUAUACUCGAUAGAUCCAGUUAUGCAGUUACUAUAGUCGUUAGAUUCAGGCUCAGAAGCUACCAGUUCAAAGAUCCUAUCCGUAGAAGAUCCUCCAAAGACUGUUUUGAUCGAAGCUAAAGUAACGAUGCACAAGAGUAACCAGUUUAUAAUCGAUCUACGGCGAAAAUACACAAUGAACCAGGAGCUUUCCAUAUUCAAUUGUGAAACUCAGUUAUACAUGGAGUCGAUCAGCCUAAAUUCAUAAUCCAUGAUUAACAAUCCUCAUGUUCUUGUAUAUUUACUGCCUGUUAAUGACAGGGGUAGGAAUCAAUUGACUUCAGGUUGAAGGUGAUAAAGUUUUGAAGAACUGGGUUGAGGCAGAUUUGAUGUGUAGGGUUAGUUUUUUUUUCCUUUUUCCAUGUCAGCAACGCCAAAUUUUUUGUCCAAUUUUGUGCAGUCAUUCCUUGAGGUUCAUGGAUUCUCUCCUCAAAGGGGAAAUUGUUUAUUAUGAUUCUUUUUCUCUGUACAGACAGUACCUAAUGUACAAAUAUUGAAUAGGAAAAACAGGCACCAAAGCCAUAGUGGAUUUCUUUCCUUCUUCUUUGUGGCAGUGUUAUACAGUUGCAAUGUCAAACUCAAACUCACAUCGUCCAAGGACUUUUUGGGACUUGGCACUGCCUCUACCUCUAUUUUGGACCUGAAAAGUUCAACAUAAGAUUCUCCAGAAUGGAACUGAAUAUCCUUGACAGAUUUAGGGUGGUGUGUUUGUGAGUGAUUUUGAUAUGGUUAAUAUCAUUUUCUGUCAUGUUUAAAGGAUGCCUUUGUUGUGUCUAAAUCCACCAUAAAACAUUAUUAAAUCAAGUUAAUCAAAUGCGUUGAAAUUGAUUUUGAAUCAUUAAAAGUAGUUUCAAAUUGAUUUUAAAAAUGACAAAAGUGACUUUAACUAUUUGAAAACCACUCCCAAAGAUGCAAAAAAGAAAAAAAAAUCACCCUGAAAAAUAGUUUUAAAUUUAAUCAUUCAAAAGCAUUCUUAAAUUUUAUUUGUUAAGAAACACAACUAAAAGUGUGAAACCAAAUAUUAAUUUGAUUUUGAAUAAUUAGACAUGUUUUGAAGAGAUUAUGAACAUGACAAAAGUGACUAACCAUUUUGGAAUCAUUUCUGAAGAUGCCUUUAGCAAUAUGUUACCAUUGAUGAAGAGUUAGGGUCAAGUUUGUUCUUUGCUUUGACAUUCAUAAAUUAGGGCAGGCAUUAAGAAUAAGAAAAACAUCCUUACCCACAAAUAAAUUUGCACUUUAUCAACUAAUGUUGCCUUUUCAAAUCAGCAAAACUUCUCAAGUUCAAGCAUCUGCUAGAGAAAUGUAAACAAUGAAACAAACAUAUAACAGAACAUCAGAAAAACGUAUUAAAUAACUAAUGAAACUAAAAUAGUACCUCCAACACAUUACCGAAGAAGUAGAUGGAAAUCACGCCUCAAACACUUAAUCCUUUCAACUUAACACAGUAGAUAAGUUUGCUCAUCAACGUCAUGAAGCAAUUCGUUAUCCAGUAACGCAUUUCAUUUAUCUACAACAUAUCACAGAAAUAGAUGGAAAUCACCUGAAUGCCUAAUCCUUUCAACUCAACAUAGUUGUUAAGUUUGCCCUCAACGGCAUCGUGAAUCGAAUCAUAAUCCAGUAAGGCUUUUGAUUUAUCUUCAACACAUCAAAGAAGAAGGAGACGGAAAUCACCUGAAACACCUAAUCCUUUCAACUCAACACAGUCAAUAAGUUUGCUCGAUAACGUCAUGAGGUGGUUCAUAAUCCAAUAAGGCAUUUCAUUUCAAAUCUGUUACUGCUCGAUUUCUCCUCCUAUCUCUAGUGGUCAUUUUCUCCCCAUAUCUCUGAAAAAUAUCAGCCAAAUCAACCAAUCCAACUUCUCUCAACUUAUUCCCCACCUCUCUAAACAUUACCACCCCCUCCUCAUUCGAAUAGUAAUGUAAAAAUUUGUUGUAAUCAAACCUUGGCACUUCAAGCCCUCUUUUCAUAAGUCUCUCCACAUACUUUGUAGCCUCCAAUGACUUCCCAUUCUUCACCAACCCUCCAACAAAAAUACUAUCAAAAUUCACAAGUGGAUCCGAUCCUUUCCUCCCCCUUUUCCCUAGAUGUCCUUGCAACAACAUUAUAUAUGUAUGCAUUAUAGGCUCACACCCUCUUUCUAUCAUUUCCCUGAAAACUUGAGUUGCUUCAUUUGCCCUUUUCAACUUCAAAAGUCCCUUGAUAAAUGCAUGAUACACAUCCAAAUCAGGAUUCUCAAUUCGUCUCAUUAUAUUAUAAGCUUCUCUCCUCCUCCCUCUUGCUAAAAGUCCAUAAAUAAGUGAAGAAUGUACCGAAUUAUCAACUUCAAGUCCUCUCUUAUGCAUUUCGUCAAACACAAUGAAUGCUUGUCCCACCUUACCUUUAUUACACAACCAUCUUAUCACAAGACUAUAAGUUGAAGGAAUCAAAUCAUUCAUCCUAUCUGAUCUAAGUGCCUGGAAAAGUUUCAAAGCUUCGUCCAAUUUAUUGGUCUUGAAAAGAACAUUCAUCAUCUCCUCCACAGCUUCCAUUUCAGGCUCAAACCCUUCAUCCACCAUUAAGUUCCACAUCUUUGAAGCCUCAAUCAAAUCCCCCACAUUGCAAAACCCCUUAAUCAACAACUUAUAAGUAACCCCAUCAGCUUUGAUCCAUUCAUUCAAUUUCAUAACCAAAAACUUAGCCUCAUCCACUAGUUUACAGCCACACAAUUUCUCAACUACUCUAUUCAAAGUUACUAAACUAUAACAAAACCCAUACCCAUUCAUCAAAUGGAAAAACUCUACACAUUUCUUCAACUCUCUGGCCGUCGCCAGAGUUCUCAGAGCAACAACAAAGGUUUUAUCAUUAACCAACCGCCGCCGCCCCAUUUCUUGAAUCAAACCCCACAAGAGAUCGAUAUUUCGUGACUUCCCAACAACAUCAAUCAACUUGUUGAAAGAGACAGCCGUGUGAGUGAAAUUGGGGUGAGUUUCGGUGAAUUGGAAGAAUCGAUAAACGGGACGCCAUGAGAGAGGGAAAGUGUUGCAUACCUGGAGGAAGAAUUCGUGUGAGAGGUUGAAAUUACAGGCGAGAAGUUUGGUGUGAAGCUUGAGAUCGGGGGAGUUCUGUUGCUGAUACAAAACGGUACAAACACGGCGGAGAUGGGUCGAGUCGAUUGGCUGAGGAAUGUUGUCGGCAGCCGUGGAGGAGUCGGAAGUAAAGGGAGAAAAACGUUGAUGAAAGAUAAAGGAAAAUGAGAAAUUAUUGAUGAUGAUACGUCGAUAGGUAAUGGCUGCCAUUUUGUUUCGCCAUUAGAGAGGGAAAUGGAGAAAAACAUAGCAGCUCGAAUUUAUAGAGAAGGAGAGAAACCAAAUAUUGAAGGGGAAAAGUAUAAAAGUAUAAAAGUAUAAAUAAAAAAUGGAGAUGCAGGGGAUCGAACCCUGUACCUCUCGCAUGCAAAGCGAGCGCUCUACCAUUUGAGCUACAUCCCCAUGUUUUGAUAACCAAUUUAUAUCAUUUUUAAUUAUUAAAAUCUUAAAAUUUUUUGAUGGAAUAGUUUCCUAAAAUUUAUUAAAAAUAUAUAUAUAAUUAAUAAAGUAAAUUGAUUAUAUAUAAUUAUAUAUAAUUAUAUAUAAUUAUUAAAGUCAUGUGUAUUAGAGUACAAUUUAUUAUUCUUAUUAUUAUUUGGUUAUGUACUUGAAACGAACACUUGAAUAUGUGCUAAUGAUAGCAAACCUUAAUUGUGAUAUUAAAAACAAUGGUUUGAAAAGCAUAAUAGUAAUCUGUUAUAUGUUUUAAUAAUAACUAAAAAAACAAUAUAUAUAAAUUUAAAAAAUAUAUUUGAAAAAAAAAGAUAAUUAUAUAUACUAACAACUACCCGAGCCUAUUAUCCAAAUAUAGCCCGAGGAAGUCAUAGAAUAGCUGAAUUUUGAAAAUAGUGAAUUCAAAUCAUAUCUAACCUAUCGAAUAAAUGGAGGAAACCGAAUGUAUCCCAAAACUUGAGUGGAGCCAACCAUUAGAUUUGAAACACUGUGACACUCCAAAACUAGCAAGUUAUUUUAAUUUUUUUAGUUGUUAGUUUUUGGAAAUUGAAAUUCUAUUUUUUAGAAUUUAGUUUUGGAUUUAUUGGUUCGUGAAUUAAAUAUUUUUUUAUUUUGAUUCUAUCUUAAUUGCUUAUUUAUUUUUAUUAUUUAAAGCUUUUCUUCAAACUUUAAAUUAUUUUCUUAUAUAUUUAAAUAAAAAAAAUCUAUAAUUAUUUAAAUAAUAAUAACCUCAAAAGUUGGGUUGUUCAUUAUUGGUUAUUGAGCUAACACAAAGGUUAUUGACAAAAGUCAUAUUUUCAUUUACAUGAACGGUGAGUUAAAAAGCAUAUUAUCCGUCUAUGGAAUCCAAAGGAGAGCUUCUAAUUUCUAAAUCCCAAUUCCCACUCCUUCAAAAAUCACCAUAGUGAUAAUUUAAUACAAUAUGUAUCAUACAGAAUUAACAUUCUCAUUCCUCCAUUAUCCAACCAAACAAAAGAAGGAAUUAAAUACCAAAGCCUUUUUUUUCUCUCUCUCUCUUUCACAAUUUAUUAAAAUUUAUUUAUUCAAUGCAAGUUCAAAUCACAUUUCUUGAUAAGUACUUAAAAUUUGUGAACCAGACUUGUGUGCUAAGGCAAUUUCAACGGAGGUAUUUACUUGAGUUUGUCAAAUGAUGCAUCACCAAAAUUGCUUCCCAUUGGAAUGUUAUCUGGUGGAACAUGAAAACGGAGAUCACCAUCCAAACGCCAAUGUUUCCUGGUCAAUAAAUUUGUGGAUAAGUGAACAUUGAUGAAGCAUGCACUAAGAUUUAGUUAUUCAUUUACCAUUCAACAAAAAUUCCAAAUAUAACAAAAUUUAUAUUUUAACUUCCAAAGUUUGUCUAUUAGUAAGACUAUGUUGUAGAAGUCAAUCACCAAUAAAUUUUGGUGUAUUUAUAAAAAAAAAUUAAAUAUUGAUAUACACUUAACUAUAGACCUAAAAGUGUUGCCAUGGUUAAUUACCCUGUUUUUCAUGAGAAUUGUUAUUAUUUAACCAAUUUCAAAGAAGUAGAGGACCAAAAUAACUUAACGAAAUUCUAUUAAGAUGUCAAAAUUGCCCUACGGAAAGUAAACAGAUUUCCUUGAAAAUUUAAAGAAAGAAGCUAUUCUUGCUUCCGAUACGUACCACAAAAAGAAUUCUUCCUAAAUCUUGACUUUGAACUUAUUAGUCAACUUCCAAAAAUAAUGUUGAGAAAAAGAGGAGAGAUUACGUAUGUACCUGACCAUUAGAAGAUAAAUCUUGGAUUACAUUUCUAAAUCUUCCUCUCCAGAGGCUUUUCUUGAUUCAUUUUCUGCCACCUAAUGCAGGAAGUUUCCAAGCAACCUCUGAUCGAAAAUCAUGUUUGGAACCUAGAAGAAGAAGCAAAGCUACUGAGUUAGGUCCUAGGCAUCAAUGCAUGUGAUGUAUGACAGUAUAAGCAAGAAAACAGAACGUGCCUUGUCCCCGAAGAAAAUCUUUGUAUUAUCAGCAAUGGCCUCGAUAAAUUUUAGCUCAAGAAACUGGGGUGUAAGCUUCAACUUGUUAGCUUCAGCUUCUUUUAGUACACUGAGAAGAAGGAAGAUGAGAGAACAUUUAUGUCAUUAGGUAUUCGGUAUCGGUGCAACAGGCAUUCAUUCCUCACUUUGAAAGCAAAAUGAGAAAGUACCGGUAAUAAUUGGCAUCCGCGAGACUCUUUUCACGAGCAAGAUAGAUAUGGUUAUCAAUUUCUUGUUGUCUCCUGGAACUCUCCUUCUCCAUCAAUUUCUGUUCCAUGAGGAUCCUGCUAACAUUAGCAUUCUUCUCGGCUUCGCUAAUUGCCAUUUUUUUUUUGGUCUCUGCUUCUUUCUCUACUACCCUUUGGCUCUCUACGGCAAUUAGAACCUAUCCAAGUAUGCCAAGAUUCAUUAGAAUAAAUACAAGCAGAAAUAUGUAUUUUAUUGAAAUAAUAAUAAUAAUUAUAAUAAAAGUCUUGAAAGGAUGAACUUUAGGUUUCUAGCUGCAUAAAGCACUAAAUGGUGUAAAUUUGGACGAAAUUUGGUCCAAAACAUUAAGAAGUAGCAUGAAAAUAUGGGUUUCUAGGUUUCUAAAGCUCUAAGAAUCGUCUAAUGAACUUUGGUUCAAAACGUUAUUCAUAUGAAUAUUGUGGACCUAAAAUACACCUUCACAGGUAUUCAUGCUAAUUUUUUUAAUUAAAGAGGUAAACUCUAUUUUGAAUUAUUAUGACGUGUAAGACUAAAGAACCAACAAUACACUUAAUACAAGGCACAUACUUUCAGCACUAGCCUUUGUGAGCCUCUGAUUUAUACCUUGUUUGAAACUCAAACAAAACGAGAAUAAAGUUGGUUUCCCAUGUUAGAGAUGUACCUUUGUACGUUCCACUUCCAUGUCUUCAAAGUUCUUUCUGAUAGAAUUUGGGAUGGUAGGUUUGGUUACACGAACACUGACUAUUUCAAUACCAGGAGCAUAACGUGUACAGUCACCUUGGAGGGCAUCUUUCAUUGUUUCAUCGAUCUAAACAUGAAAACCAGUCACGGAUCAUUCAUACUAAAGAAACGCUUGAUGCCAAUCAAGAAAGAAUAUACGAGAAGUUUCAUGGAAACAUAAGCUUUUACAGCCUCAAUCAGAUUCCUUGAAAGAAUGGAAAGCUGAAGAAAAGAAAAAUAUCUGGCACAAAUGAAUACAAAUAAGGCAGUAAGUUGCCAAAAUACUCAAGGUGGACAAUUUCACUAGCUAGAGUUUACAAUUCGCACGGUGCUCUUAUCAGCUCUGCAAGCCGUUUGUGAAAAUAAAAAGAUGCAAGGCUUUAAAAGCACACACCUGAUCAAAGACAUCAAUAUAAACUUGUUGAAGACUGUGGGAGCUACAAAACUGAUUGAUCUCAUGAUGAAUUUUAUCAUAUAUCCAUAUGUUAUCAUAAUUCACACCAUAGUUGACCAGGGUGUCAUACACAUAUUCUUUGCGGAGGCGAUUGACAACCUGAAAGUAGCAUCCUUAUCAACUAAGAUGAAAAACAUGAAAAUCUAACAUCAAUAAUUGUGAAGGAAUUUCAUAGUAAUUGCACCUCUAUUUUCUCGAAGUUGAUCAUCACACCCCCUUAGUACCACAUGGAAUGUCCCUUACCUGGAUGUGGACAUCAAUUAGAACAUCUUCAAAAUAUUGAAAUCCUAGAAUCGACGUUAAAUUCUAACUUACUUGAUCGGUCUGGAGGGUCACUUGAACAGCCACAAACUGGGUUAUCAGUGGCAACUUCAGAUGGAAACCUGAAAUUUUUAACAUGAAAAAAAUAAAAGGACAUACGAUAUGCAUAACAACAAAAAAAGGUAGGAAGGAGAGACUUAAACCUGGAUCAGUUAUUGUCUUCAGAAGGGCACCUCCUCUCCAAUAUACCCCCACGUGACCCUCCGGUACUUGAUGUAAAAUAGAAAGAUUAUUUGACAAGUUUGAUUGAGAUGGAAAGAGCACCUACAUGUAUGUAAUACAGUUAUACAGCCAGUAGAAUCAACCAGAUAAGUUACAGUGAUUUUGUAAUUGUUCAUUGUACACACUUAGGCACAAAAAAUGGGAAUGCCAAAUAAACAUUUAUAAGGUGAUACAACUUCUUGACCACGUUUUGUGUAUGUUAAUCAGUAUUUGGACAACUAGUACGGAUCCAAUUGUCAAUUGUGCUUUCCCUCGGUUGAUUGUCCUAUGAAAACUAAUACUGAUCCAAAAUCUACUUUAUAUAUUAAACUUAGCAGACCUGCCAUGUGUGAAACGUAGAAUUUAUCAAGUUUACAUAAACCGUCCGCUGUUUGCUUCAAUUUGUUGAACCUUUUUUCUUAUACGACAAAAUUUGGCCAAAAUUUCUCAACUAUGUCAGACUCCACAUUUAAAAGCCAUGGCCGAACUAGCUACAAGAAGAUCAGAGAUUCAUAAGACUACUCUGUAAUAGAAACUAGAUAGAAACUUCUUUCUUCAUUUUUUAAUAGUACAUCAUUGGAUUUUGCGAAUCUCAUACUCAUACGCUUGAUGUUUCCAUCGAUGGCACUACUCCAUGUGUAUUUUAAUCAAUUGGGUAAUCUCUCUGUAACUCCCACAUACGGCACUGGAUAUGACUUAAAAACAAGUAAACAAACAAGUAUGCAAUCAAACAGUAGUACUGAUGAACUUAUUGUAAAUCGAAGAAACGCAUUCUUUAAUACAUCAAACCAACAAACUAACUACCAAAACAAACAACGUAAAAAUCGAACGUAUUAGCAUUCUAACUCCAUUUCACAACGGAGAAAAACAUAGACGAAGAAUCAACGCAUCUAGUUGAGACAAAAUACUUUGACCUCAGAUAGAAUAGAAACAAGACGGUGUAUCAAAAAUCAAUUGUCGGAAUCUAUGGCGUAAGAAAAUCAAAAUGAAAUUUCAGAAACAAAAACACGAAACCUAGCGUGUUUUGCAGUUGGAUAAGGAAUGAAUAAGAUAUACCAUGGAAAAGAUGGCCAGGAAGGAGGCGAAAACUAGGAGUAUGGAUGAGGAACUCCCGGCGGAUUCUGGAGGACGAGGCUGCGGAGAUGGCGGUUGCAGCGGCUGAUUACGAUCCAUGGCGCGGUCUCGGUGUAGAGAAGACUGAAUCAAAUUAGUGGAGUUUUGUGUAGACUCUGAUUGGCGGAUUGAAUUUAUACUGUUUUGCUAACGGAAGGUAAAAAGAAAACUGCUGCAAGAAAGGAAUUUCUUACCUCCUAACCUUUCACGUUGGGCUGAAAAUAAAAUUAAUGGAGAAAUGUCUUUCUAUUUCUUGUAUUUUUAGAUUUUUUUUAACAUCACUUUUACGUUAAAGGUUGAUUUAGUUCCUAAAAUGGACACUUACUCAUCAAUCAAUAGACUUUAUCAGCAAUAAUGGUAUGAUUUAGUUCCUAGAGUUUACAAUAGGUAUUGAUAUGAUUUUGUUUGUGUGGGUGUUAAUUUUAGGAGAGAUAGAUAUGAUGAGAAUUUUUCAAAAACAAAUUUUGAUGAUUGGAGGGACCAUACCCUUCUCAAAAGGGCUUUCCACGUGAAAUAAUUGUAAAGUUGAGUGAAGUUUGAAUAGUAACAAACAAAAAGAUAGAAACGAAGGAGUAGUUUGUAACUUCCACGUGAAAAAUAAAACAGCCUCUCCAUUUGGAUUUGGAUAGAGAGAGGAAGAAAAAUUGCAUUUGCCCGCGCUUCCAUUAGCAAAGAUGCUGUCUCCAACAAUGGCUUCGACUUGGGGCUCGGCUCCAUUGCACAUUCAAUGGAAGAAACCGAAGCGUCCGGGUGUUAUCCUUAACGAGUUACCUUCAUUUCUUCCCAAAGAAGUCUACAACAUCAAAGACCAAUCUGCUCGAAACCUCGCUUCAAGGAUUCAGAGGCUACCCGUAAGUUCACACCUGGAAAAUCUCGUACCAUUUCGUCGUUUGCUAGUUGUUUUAACAAUCAUUUAAUGAUUAUUUCACAUGGGUUGGGGAAAACUGUAAUAGAAACUCUCAAUUCGAGGAAGUUCAAGCUAUGUUUUUUGUGGAAUUCUACCUGUUAAUGUGACUUUUGAAUCGAAGGGGUUUUAAGCUAAGAAUUGUUCUUGCUCUGCAUGUAGGUCAGCUUCUCGGAUUUUUGUAUUAUGAGUAGUUGCGUUAAGCCGUCAAUACAGAACAAAGACUGUCCUGUGGUUCUUCUCCAUGGCUUUGACAGGUUUCUUUCACUAGUUAGAAAUAAUAUUCGUGUAAAAUAAAUACAACGCUGUUUGUUGGUUCUGUUAUUAUUGUUAUUAGUUUAUCUUUUCCUCGUUCAUCACAUCUUAUUGUUCAGCUCCUGUUUAGAAUGGAGAUACACAUAUCCAUUGCUUGAGGAAGCUGGUUUAGAAACUUGGGCUGUCGACAUUCUUGGCUGGGGCUUCUCUGAUUUAGGUUUGUCUAAUUGCUUUGUGUUCCUCUAUUCAUUGAUCGAUAAACCAUUUUUUCUCUCUAAUUUUCGUAGUUGCAUGUGAUAGAAAGACUCCCACCAUGUGAUGUGACUUCUAAACGUGUUCAUUUGUAUCAGGUAAUGAAAACCCUCCUGUUUAGAUUGUUUUCCUGUAUGUAUUUGGGGCAAAUUUCUCUUCAAUUCCAAUUCUGUUUCCUUCCUGUAUGAUCUUAAUAUGCUGACACUUGCUUCAUUGUUAUAACUUAUAGGCUUGUUUUAUUUUUUCAUCAUUGCUAUAAGCUUUUGCAUUAAUCAUUAUUUUCCUGUUCUCUUUAAGUUUUUUUUUUUUUUUCCUGAAUAAUUCUUUAUUAUCAGUCACACUUAUAUCUUGUCCAGUUAUGUUGAAACUAAUUAAGUUUUCCCUUAUGCUGACUAUAGCUUUGGAAAUCUUAUAUUAAAAAGCCAAUGGUAAUUGUUGGACCAAGCCUUGGUGCUGCUGUUGCUAUUGAUUUUGCUGUCAAUUAUCCAGAAGCUGUAUGUAUCUACCAGCUGGAAUUUAUGACUACAAAUUUGAAGUUAUAUCCUCAUGUAAAGUCAUUCCAGAGAGUCUUCCGUCCAAUAUAACGAGAUUAUUUCAGGUCGAUAGGCUUGUGUUGAUUGAUGCAAGUGUAUAUGCAGAAGGUACAGGAAACUUAGCUACCUUACCAAGAUCGAUUGCCUAUGCUGGGGUGAGACUUUGCUUACUUCUGUGAACAUUACAUCAAGUGUGCCAAUGCUAAGCACAUUUGAUGAGAGAUUGAUUUUAUGCAAUUACAAUUUACAAAACCACAAAAUUUACUUCAUCUGUACAUCCUUUCCCAUCCAUUUUACCAUACCAUUAUUGCAUCACCACAUGCUUUCAUGAUAAUUCUUCUGCUAAAAUCUUCUGGGAGAGAAUCGUUCUACUAAUUUUUUAUCUACAAAUUUGAUUUUUUGCAAAGAAAUUGACAGUUUCUAGGGGGGAAGAUUUUUACACUUGUUUCUUUUCUGAAAAAUCGUCUUGGAGACACUUCUUAUGUUUGCUGAUUUCUAUGUAAGUCAUAAGUUUUUUAAACUUUUUUAUCAGGUAUUUUUAUUGAAGAGCAUUCCUUUGCGCGUAUAUGUGAAUGUUUUGACCUUCACUGGUAUACCAUUUAGUACCAGCCUGGAUUGGGCCAAUGUAAGUUUUCCCCGACAUUAAGGUGCAUGUUUAUCAUGUAGUUGUUGACUUGAUGUGUAUUUUGUGAUAUUGGAAGUUUUGCUUGACAUGAAGAUAAAAUGUCAUGUCCAUAACCAAUUGACUUACAUCCUGCUUCGACUGUUCUCCUUCUACUCUACUUAUAUUUUAUUAGAUUGGCCGCCUGCAUUGUUUAUUACCUUGGUGGGAGAUGCGACUGUUAGUUUUAUGUUAAGUGGGGGAUAUAAAGUCAGCAGCCAGAUUGAAAAGGUUAGCACAACUCUUUUGCAAUAUGGUUGUUGGAAAAUGCAAAAUGUAUCUUGUUUUUUGAAUUAGAAAAUUGCAAAUAUAUUGGUGAUCAUAAGGAAAAGUUUCCAUUCCUCGUCAAGUUAUGUAGGCGUUUUCAUCAAGGGUUGUUGGAAUGUUUUUUUGUUCUAAGGUCAUUUUCAUAUUGUUCAUUCGACAAUUAUCAUAUCGACAUUUGAGAAUCAUUAGGUACUUCUGAGAGUUACGUGCAUUUUGGUUCAACAGGUGAAGCAGAAAACGCUUAUUAUAUGGGGUGAGGAUGAUCAAAUCAUCAGCUACAAGCUUGGAGUGGUUAGUGUUGUAAUUUAGAAUUCAGAAACGUAUAUGUCUUAUUCUCAUUGAGUCAAAGCAAUGUUACAUAUUUAUAUAGAGAAUAAACUAAACCCUAGAGACUAAGUAAAAUUACAAUAAAGGACAUAUGUAUAUAUAUAUAUAUAUCAUAACACUCCCCCUCAAGCUGGAGCAAAUAUGUCGAUCAUGCCCAGCUUGUUGCACAGAUAGCUUAUCCUUGUUCCAUUUAAAGCUUUAGUUAGAAUAUCUCCCAAUUGUUCUCCGGUCUUCACAUAUCCUGUGGACACCAACCCAUCUUGGAUUUUCUCACGAAUGAAGUGACAAUCCACCUCAAUAUGUUUAGUUCUUUCAUGAAAUACUGGAUUAGAUGCAAUAUGAAGUGCAGCUUGAUUAUCACACCAUAAUUUAGCUGGCACGGUAAUACUGAAGCCUAUCUCAGAUAAUAGUUGGUGAAUCCAUACUAUUUCACACACAGAUUGUGCCAUAGCUCUAUAUUCUGACUCAGCACUCGAACGAGAAACAACAUUUUGUUUCUUACUCUUCCAUGAAACUAAGUUUCCACCUACAAAGACACAAUAUCCAGAAGUCGAUCUCCUAUCCUCACGAGACCCCGCCCAAUCAGCAUCAGAAAAACAUUCAACUCUCGUAUGUCCAUGAUCUUUGUAUAGGAUCCCACGUCCAGGAGCAGCUUUUAGAUAACACAAAAUCUGCUCUACUGCAGCCCAAUGAUCCACUGUAGGGGAAGACAUGAAUUGACUUACAACACUUACAGAAUAUGCAAUGUCUGGUCGAGUCACUGUUAAGUAGUUCAACUUCCCAACUAAUCUCCUAUAUCUCUCAGGAUCUUUACAUAAUUCUCCUUCUUUAACAAGUUGCUGAUUUGGCAUCAUUGGAGUGCCACUUGGUUUGGCGCCUAAUUUUCCUGUUUCAGACAACAAAUCAAGUACAUAUUUUCGUUGAGACAAAUAAAUACCUUUCUUGCUUCUCAUCACUUCAAUGCCCAAAAAAUAUUUCAAUUGGCCCAAAUCUUUUGUAUAAAACUGACCCUGAAGAAAAGUUUUGAGAGACGAAAUACCCAAUACAUCAUUUCCAGUAAUAACAAUAUCAUCAACAUAUACAACUAGUAGAACUAUACCCUUCUCAGAUCGGCGAUAGAAAACUGAAUGAUCAGAUGUACUCUUCUUCAUACCAAAGCAUACAAGGGCUUGACUAAACUUACCAAACCACGCACGAGGACUCUGUUUCAAACCAUACAGAGAUUUUCGAAGGCGACAUACUUUAUCACUCUCCCCCUGAGCAACAAACCCUGGUGGUUGUUCCAUAUAAACUUCCUCUUGAAGAUCACCGUGAAGAAAAGCAUUCUUAAUGUCAAGUUGAUGCAACGACCAUUUAUUGGUAGCAGCCAUGGAAAGAAAUAGGCGAAUGGAAGUUAACUUGGCAACCGGAGAGAAUGUAUCUGAAUAAUCAGUGCCAUAGAUUUGAGCAUAACCUUUGGCAACAAGGCGAGCCUUUAAACGAGCCACUGUUCCAUCAGGAUUCAUCUUGACAGCAAACACCCAUUUACAACCAAUGGCCUUCUUUCCUGCAGGACGAGAUACCAAAUCCCAAGUACCAUUAUCAUCUAAAGCAGUCAUCUCCUCAAUCAUUGCAUUUUGCCAGCCAGGAUGAGACAAAGCUUCAUGAACAGAGUUAGGAAUAGAUGUGGACUCAAGAGACGUAAUAAACGCAUAUGUGGAGGGAGAUAACUGGUGAUAGGAAAUAAAGGAAGAAACGGGGUAAGUACACUUGCGUUUACCUUUGCGAAGAGCAAUGGGAAGAUCAUCACUUGGCGCUGGAUCACAUGAAGAAGGAAGCAUUGAUGGAGGACAUGAGUCUGAAGGUUGUGGUGGAGGUCGUCGGGAGUAGACUUGAGAAAUCAACGGGCGGGAAGGAGACACAUCAGUAGACAAGGAUGGUGUGGGAGAGGUAACCUCAUAUAUAAAAAGAUUGUCAUCCUCCCCCUGACACAAACUCGAUGGUGAUGAAGUAAAGGGUGUAUCUUCAAAAAAGACAACAUCAGGUGAAACCAGAUACCUUUUAAGGGUAGGACAAUAACAACGAUAACCCUUUUGAACACGUGAAUAACCCAAGAAGAUACACUUCAAGGAUUUGGGAUCUAACUUAGUAUGAUGAGGACGAACGUCACGAACAAAACAGACACAACCAAAUAUCUUAGGAGCAAUAGGAAACAAAUGCUUGGUAGGAAAAAGAACACGACAGGGAAUCUCACCAUUAAGAACAGAGGAAGGCAUUCUAUUAAUCAAAAAACAAGCUGUAGAGACAGCAUCAACCCAAAAGAUUUUUGAAACAUGCAUUUGAAACGAUAAAGCACGGGCAGUUUCAAGUAAAUGCCUAUUUUUCCGCUCUGCAACACCAUUUUGAGAUGGAGUGUCAGCACAGGAAGAUUGAUGAAUAAUGCCAUUUUCACACAAGUAAGAGCCAAGAGAAUGAGAAAAAUAUUCACCCGCAUUAUCAGUACGCAAAGUUUUGAUAGAGACAUUAAAUUGGUUUUUUAUUUCAGUAUGAAAGGCACAAAAAUGAGAUAAUAACUCAGAACGAUUUUUCAUUAAAUAUAACCAAGUUAGACGAGAAUGAUCGUCAACAAAAGUAACAAAAUAACGAAAGCCUGUUUGAGAUACAACUGGACACGGACCCCAAAUAUCAGAAUGAACUAACUCAAAUGGAGCAAUUGCUCGUUUAUCGACUCGAGGACUCGAACUAAGACGAUGAAAUUUCGCAAAUUGACACGAAUCACAAUUUAAAGAGGACAAAGACCUAAAUUCUGGAUAAAGUUUCUUCAACACAAACAAAGAUGGAUGACCUAAACGACAAUGGACUUCAAAAGGAGAGGGAACGACAGGACACGCCACAGCUUGCGAUACUUGAUGAUCAAAGAAAUAAAGGCCUCCUGACUCAUAUCCUCUACCAAUAAUCUUCUUCGUCACACGAUCCUGAAACAAGCAAUAACCAGAAAAGAACAUGACAACACAAUUUAGGUCAUGAGUAAGUUGACUAGUAGAAAUUAAAUUAAAGGAUAAGUUAGGCAAAUGUAACACAGAAGAGAGAGAAAAGGAUGGGGUAAGGUGAAUAGUGCCAGAGCCAAGAACAGAAGAUGUGGAGCCAUCGGCCAAUGUAACAGAUGGGAAAGGGGCAGGGGACAACGGUCUAGAAAAUAGGUGAGAAUUACCUGUCAUAUGAGCUGUGGCACCAGAGUCUAUGACCCAUUUGGUAGAUGAUGUAAGAAGACACUUUAUAUUACCUGGGGCAACAGUGGAUGCAAUCGGAGUAGAGGAAGAUGACGCUUGUAAUGACUCUUGGUAAUUCUGAAACUUAGCAAACUCAUCUGCAGAAAUAGUAACUGACGCCUCUGGUAUAUCGCAUGUGGAGGCUAUCUGAGCAUGUUGAGAUCGUUGACUAUUCUUAUAUAGCAAUUUCCGACAAUCACGUUUCAUAUGGCCUGGCUUACGACAGUAGUUACAAACAAUCUCUACAGACUCUGGUUUUCGAUGAUCAGUACUAUUCCUCUGAGGUGCCCGAGGGUUAUUGUUCUUGCUAAAGAGAGCACUACUGGGUUGAGGAAUAGACACACUAGUCGGAGAGCUUUCAAUGCGAAGGACUCGAGUGAAGGCAUCAUCUAAUGAUGGAAUCUUGGAGUCAGAGAGAAUCUGUGUCUUUGCCAUUCCAAAUUCAGGUAAGAGUCCAUUCAGAAAAAUCAUAACAGCCAUCUUCUCUCGUUGAACUUGUUGAACUUUAACAUCAGGACUAAAAGGUAACAACAAGCCAAGCUCGGCAAUGAUCUUCUUAAGCCGCAUAAAGUAGCUGGUGACAGACUCAGCUUUCUGUUCCGCACGAAAAAAUUGCAUACAAACUUCAAACAUUCUAUGCACUUGCUCUUUACCUGAGUAUAGAAAAUCCAAAAAUUCCAAAAGUUCUUUAACAGACUCACAGUGAUCAACCAAUCCAAUUAUCUCACUCUCAAUUGAAUUCUUGAUCUGAAGAUAUAAACGGGCAUCAUCACGAAGCCAAUCCUUCUUCUGCUUUGCAUCUUUUGGGGAUCUUCAGUCAUAUGAUCAUCCAUAUCAGUACUUCUCAAAUAAAAUAAAAUUGUCCGACGCCAAUCGUAAUAAUUGGAUCCAUUUAACUUAUGUUCUGUGAUCUUAGAGGCCAAGGGAAUAACGUUGGAGACUACCAAAUUUUUUAUGUCGGCCAUAUUGAAGUCACACGUUGAUUGUAGUCCACUCGAACAAAGAGAAAAUCAAUCCAAACAGCUGCAAAAUUGGAAAAAGAGACAAAACCAAUCGUGUAACCUUCGGUUUUCGUCAAACCCGAAUGUUAUUUGAUAGACCCAAUGGUACAGACUGGUAGGAAACAAUGGUUCGAGAUAAGCCAGAAGACAGAAGACAAAUCGGACUUCUCACGCGCUCUCACGCGCCGGCGCGUGGGUGAAGGUGACGAUGAUUCCGGCGGCGCGUGAAGGUCACGCGCGGUGUUUUCCGGCGAUCGGCGAAGACAGACUUGGGCGGACGGAGGUGGUGCUUCUUAUGGUAUGGGCGGUGUCGACAAAUGGUCACCGGAAGGUAACCCAAACUCCAAACCUAAUGGAGGUUGACAAAUGGUCACCGGAAGGUAACCCAAACUCCAAACCUAAUGGAGAGCUCUGAUACCAUGUAAUUUAGAAUUCAGAAACGUAUAUGUCUUAUUCUCAUUGAGUCAAAGCAAUGUUACAUAUUUAUAUAGAGAAUAAACUAAACCCUAGAGACUAAGUAAAAUUACAAUAAAGGACAUAUGUAUAUAUAUAUAUAUAUAUCAUAACAAGUGUUAUUGUAAUUCUGAAAAAUGAGACUUGGAUAGAAAUUGAAUUGGGUUGACAGAACAGACUGACAAACCCCUUGAAACUAAGUAAUUGAAACAAAAUAGAGAUUGAAUGUGAAAUACUUUGUUGUCUUUUGUCUUUUGAAUUGAAACAUAUAUAAUAAUAUUGUUACAAAUAGAAUAACUUCUCAUUAGUUGAAAUAUGCAAUGCAGAGGUUGCACUGUGAGUUGCCAAAUGCAGUUAUUCGUCCAAUAGCCGAAUGCGGGCACCUUCCUCAUGUUGAGAAGCCAAAUCUUGUUGCCAAAUUGAUUACACAAUUUGUUCAUGAAGAUUCCAGAAAAGAGGUUCAGUUUGUUAACAGUGAAUAAUUCUUCUUUGCACAUGCUUACAUUUUCUUCAUUUUAUUAACGAAUUUGCUUCACCCUGCUCAUGGAUUUUCAACCCUGACGUGUGUUCUUCUGAGGGCUGGAAGGUGCUCUACAUGUUUGAAAUCCAAUAAAAUAUGACGUCGUCAAUAUAAACCCAAACAAAAAAUCUGCUCUUGCUUGUUUCCUUUUCCUUAUGAUGGUGGAAAUAAACCCCUCCCUCGAAAUCAAGACAAGUAAUCCUAAGUUGAUGGAUACAUAUAUCUUCGAUCAAGAAGUUCUAUCCGUCUAUGUUAUUAGGUAAAUAAUAUUCUGUCCAUUAGAAUGGUGCACUGUAUUGGGGAAAGGAACCAGAUGAUCUCAUUUUGAUUCUCGGAUUGUUGUGGUCUUGGUGGGGCCUUGGUCUUUCGAAAUUGAUGUUCCUUCUUCAUUGGAUCUUUUAUCCUAAGUUUAUGGUAAAGUUUUAUGGACCAAUUUUGAAUUAUGGGAUUUUUUUCACUUUUUUUUAGAAAAUAAGGGUCCGUUUGGUAACGUUCCAGUUUAUGUUCACUUUUUAAGAAAUAGAAGUGUUUGGUAACGUUUUCUGUUUCUUGUUCUAAAAAAAAUAUAAACGUUUAUCAUUUUAUAAAGAAUUAUUGGGAACAAAAAAAGUAGUGUCACCCGUUUCCGUUUUUCAAUUAUUUCUAUUGGUUUUUUUUUCUCAAUUAUUUCUAUUGGUUUUCUUUUCUUUUUUUCAAUUCUUUUUAUUGAUUUUCUUUUCUUUUUUCUCAGGUUUCAUUUUCCUUUCCAAUUUUUUUUCUAUUUCAUUUCCAUUUUCCAUUUUUCUUUUGUGAUUUCUUUUUUCUUACUCUUAUUUUCAUCUUCUUUCCCAAAUAACCACUUGCCUUUUUCUUCAUUUUAUUUCCAUUGUCUUUUUCAAAUAAUCAUCAUCUUCCUCUUCCUCUCAUUGCCUUUGAUGUCUUCCUCUUCCUCUCAUCAUCUUCCUCUACACGACGCAUUCUUCUUCGUUGGAUUUGGGUUUUUCUCUUCCUCUUUGGGUGAAUUGUGUUUUCGUCGAAUUUGUGGGUUUUUGUCAGAUAUGUGUCUUAAUUGUGAGUUUUUGUCUUCCUCUUUGUCUUGGGUUUUAGUCCUCUUCAUCGUGAGUUUUCGUCUUCCUCUCGUCGACUAUGUUCUUCAUAUCUCAAUCUUCAUCUCAUUCACCAUAAGAUUACAAGAAGACCUUCUCUAAGUUUGAUAAUCUUAUGUUUUAUGUUUAAUGGAUGACAUAUAUUAAUCACACACAUUUUCUAUUUCUAUUUCUUUUUUAAGGAAACCUAAACCUUAAACAGUUAUCAAACACAUUCAUGUUUCUUAUUCUUAAAAAAGAAGGAACAGGGAACAAGAACGUUACCAAAUGGGCUCUAAAAUAUUUCACAUUUUAGCUUCGAUGUUUAGAUUGAUAAAGAUGGUAGUUAAUUGGUAUUAGAUAGUUCAAUAUCAUUAUUAACUUCUUAAAAAUAAAUGGACCAAUUGGUUAACUUGAAAGAAUAACAUACCUAUACCUCUUCUAAUAAAGUUGGAGAUUUGGAUGGCUGUAGAGGACUAAGUUUGUCAAUGAAUUCUAUUAUAAGUUUGUGUUAAAUAAUUUUAAGUAUAAUCGAGUUCAUUCAUAAAGUUAUACAUUUAUUAAGAAAUACAUCUCUCUCCAUUAUUUUUUUUUUCUUUAUAGAACCCUAAACAUACCAACUCAAUCAUAGCAUAAUAGCAUUGACCAAAAGUCAUAGGGAAAAAAAAAUAGUGAUUAGACUACACCUAAUCUCAAUAUUCUUUUAUCCAAAGUAAAAAUGUAAGUAAAAAAGUUUUUACUUUUUCUAUAACGAAAGGUGAUGGUCGGCAAAUUGUUGAGAUGGAAACCUUACUAACCACACACAAUUAUAUAAUAUAUUAAAAAUGAUAAAUAUUACUAACACACAAUUAUGUAAUAUAUUAAAAAUGAAUGAUUUAUUCCUUUGUAAAUGAUAAAAUUAUUAAAAAAAUAUUUAUAAAAUAUAGGAAAGUUUCAUAUUUUAUAAAUGAUAAAAAUAAACUUUUAUCACUGUUAAUAUCAUAUUGAUGAUAUUGCUGAUGUUUGUUCUAGUUUAUUGUAAAUAGAAUGUUAAAUUUGCAUUCCAACCAAAAAUUAAGUCAAAUGUGUUUUAUUUUUCUCCAAUGACUAUUUUCUUUCUUUAGUUAAAUAGAUUAGUGAAAUUGCUUUUUUUCCAUCUUGUCAGAUUGAAUUAAUUAAGAUUCCAAAAACAUUUUUCAAAAUUAAAGUUUCACUGGCCAAUAUGAGUUUAUAAAAAAUUGUUGUCAUACAACAUUUACUCAUUAAAUUCUGGGCAUGAGUCUAUAUAGCAAUCAAACAAAUAGUUGGUAGGUAGUUCAUUAGUCUAUUCACCACACCAAAUGUCAAGUGUUGUUUGGAUGAGUUUAAAAAACUCAAAAUUCUUUUAAAGAUUUAUAUACAUAACCUCAUUAUUAAAGUUGGGUAUCAUGUGUUUUCAUUCCAUUUCUUGUCCCACCCAUGUUGUCAUCCAUUCACCUCAUAAAUAUGGACCUUAUAUAAAUCUUAAAACUAUAUUUACCAUAAUCAAAUUCCCAUAAACUACUUACUUAGAGCAUAUUGAGUAACACAACUCAUACGACUUUAUUAUUAAAUGAAGAAAUUAAUAAUGAACAAAAGAGCAGAAUAAUUGAUUAGUGGGUACAAAGUCCCAUUAAAUUAAGGAAAAUACAGCCUCUAUUAGAUACACAAAAGUGAAAAAUAUCUAAGAGGAUCAGGUUCCAUUCUAGUAGAAAAUCAUACCACCACUCAAUAAGGAAUCAAAUUCUCCACCCUUUUCUUCUUCUUUUCUUUUUCUUUUUUCCUUUCCACAGCAAAGGACAUUAGAAAACAACCUUCCUAGCUUUUCCUUCCAUCCAUCCAUUCAUCCAAACAAAUCAACUAAUGGCCUCCAUCAUGGUUAACCUAACAGAACAUUGACAACCAAAAUGUCACAGUAGCUGUGAAGAAGAACAAGUUAGAGGCUGCUGCAUUGAGACCUGCAGCAGCACUGCCAUCCAUACUGUUCCCGCCCAGACCGACACCGCCUGUUGGGCUUAUCCCAUUCCCGAACACUGAAGGGGAGGUUGUGCCAGGAGUUGUUGUCGACGGUGGUGUUGUUGAUGGGUUUGUUGUGGUUCCUGGUGUCGUGCCGGGAAUGGUGGUUGAUGGAGUGGUUGAUGGGGUGGUGCUAGUCGGGGUACCUGUAAAACUGAAAAGAAAGGGAAAGGAAAAAAGAAAUGAGUGUUUGAAAAUUAUCGAUUGACAUGAAAGCUUAAGUUAACUGGUGACAAUAAAUUUAAUAUUAUAUCAACACUUUCAACACCUCUCUCACAUGUUGAGCUUAGUGAUUUGUAGAAGGUGAUACAAGUGAAAAUAUCAUUGUAGGGGUUUGAACACAAGACAAGUGUGUAACAAUAGAGCUAUUAUCUUGGAGAAAGAAGAGGACAGAGAUGACAAAGAAAAACCAUAUCAACAUCAGACAGCUUGUAUUCUUAGUCUAGCAAGUUGCAACAGUUAGAAGAAGCGGUUUUAGACAUUAUCGAUGAUAUUAAUAGAUCAUAUCUACGGUUUAGAAACUGUGAGAGGGAGACUGCAAAACUAAAAGUUAAUUUGUUAACAGAUUCUACCCAUAAGAUAAUUUUCAUCCAAAGUAAUAUAUUACAAAAACAUUUUCAACAAUUGUAACUUUCCAAGGGGAAAAGAUAUUCAAUAAAGCCAAGCUUGAUCAUUGAGAAAGAAGGGGAAGGGAAUUGGAUUCUUGAUAGAUUUUUUUUUUUUACUUUCUUUUCUUUUCUUACAUCAAGCAGAAGAUUCUCACCAACACCAACUCGAAAAGUAAAAAAAAAAAAAAAAAAAAAAAGACAACUUUGGGUUAAAAAAAGUCAUUGGAAUAUGCCACUUUGAGAAACAAAUUCUCAGUAAAAAAAAAUGGAGAUAUUUGAGGAUUGUUUAAGAGACCAGUGCUUUACUUUUCCUUAAACCUUUUCAAAUUUCAACUCAUCCAAAACAUUGAUUCUCAGGUAGUCUUUGUUUCUUAUUAAACAAAAUAUUCAACUCAAGCCCACUUUCCAUUUUGAACAUUGUUGAACAGAAAAACACAAUCUAAAAAGUUGAAUGUGAGAUCAAUUCUUCAAAAACUGAAAGAGAGUGAAGAAAUUGAAAUGGGUACCUGGGACUGGAAGGAUAAACACACCCAGAAGCUACGGCUGUAAAAGAAAAAACACAAGAAAAACAAGAAAAGACCCAAAAGAAAUGGUAAGUAACAAAAAAAAGAACCAAUUGAUGAAGAAGAUGAGUAAAAAUGGAAAAUAAAAAUCUAAUACCAGGAGGAGAUUGGCUAGGCGAGGCAGUGCCUGAAAAAUCACAACUCCCUUGAACCUGACCCUUUCUUUGAAAAUAGCUAUUAACAGCAUAACUGCAAUGAUCUUUCACAGUAUUGGGUUGAUAACAAGGGCCAUUUUGAAGGAUUGGUGUACAAUCAGCUCCAGCUCCACAAGCAUAAUCCAAACUUUUCUGAAGGGCUUGAUCACUCAGUCCAUCUUUACAAAUGCAAUAAGUAGCACCUAAACAAGAUUCCAGAAAAAGGGUUCAUCAGAUUUUUUUAAAAAAAAAUUAACCCAACAGCUUAUUUUCUAAUUUCCACUGAUUUCUUGAAAACCCUUCAGAGGGUUUCAACGAUUCUUGUGUAAAACCUCAUUUUAAGCUGCAGAAAAACUUCAAAUGGAAGCCAGUAAACAAAACCAAGAAAUGAAAAUGAAGAUUCCAGAAGCUUACUUGAAUGGGAAGUGAAGGCCAAGAAUAUCAGAUAACAGAGCAAGAGAACCGCCAUGGUUGAGGAAAGAUUCUGAGAGAGUACAGAUGAGAGAAGAGAAGAAUUGUGGAUUUAAGAGAAGUGGCAAAACCGGAAAAAAGAGAGAGAAAGAAAAAGAGAAUUAUGGGACAAUGGAGAUUUCUAGUGAGGAAGAGAAUGUAGAGGGCGGUGCCAGUGUGUCUCUAUUCACCUUUUUUUUUCUCUCUUCUAUCCUACUUUUUCAGUUAUGAUAUUUCUAGAUAAUUUUAUACUUCCAAAAGUUAAAACAUUAUUUGUUUCAACAAUGAACUAUUUUGGGUUAAAAGAGUAUAAAAUUUUGCUUACUUUGGACUCUGAAGCCAAAAAUUUUAGGAUUUCAAUUCAUGGGUAUGAGAUUUGAGAAAGUUAUUGCUAUUAUUAUUAUGAUAUAUGUUUUGGGUAAUGAUUGAACCAAAGAAAAUGAGUCUUAUAAAGUUGGGGUUUUGAUUAUUUUGAUUGAUGAUUAAGAGAGGAAGGUUUGGAUUUGGAUCAUUAUCACCCAUUAGUGAAAGGGAAGAGAAGCUUAGGUAUAAAUAAGGAUGCAGCCAAAAUGAUCAAGGUGGCAAAAAUUGACAGCAAAAGUUUGAAAUUUGGGGUUGCUUUGUAGUUACUUUACUUUUCUUGAGAGGUGGUUGAAGUGAUGAAUGGAAUGUGGAAUUUGAUAUUCUCUAGGGAUUGUGAACACACACAUAACAACAUAACUCUAAGAUGCUUUGUAAUUUGUACUUGUUAUAUGUACUAAAGUGAGUAUAUUGAAUUACAUAUCUAUAUAUAAAUCUUCCUAACUCAUUCCUAUAAAAUAUUGUUUGAAACAUAUCUAUAUUUUGAAGGACGAAUAUUUAUCAAUUUGAUCUCUUACGAUGGAUUCAAAUAUAGUAACCAUGCUAAAUAAUAUAAAAUACUCACACACUCUAUAAUGGAUUUCAAUAAUGCCUCGAAAUCUUGAAAAGAUUUAUUUUUUCCCAUUGAACUUUGUGUUUAAAAAAGCUCUCGGUUCGUUAAAAUAAAAUCAAAAUUAAUACAACGAUUACUAUGUGAAAAUUGAUUUUGUAUGUGAAUUUAUGUUCCAUUGUCACAAAGCAUAGGACCAUAAAUUUAAAUCCUUCAUUCUUACCGAUCUUAUGAUUACUAAGACAUUUGCAUGUCAAUUAGAAUAUCAUUAUAGAGUAUUGAGUUUAGGAAGAUGUUUAAUCAAUAAAUAAUAGUAUUUAGUAUAAAUGUAUGUAACUCAACUGACAUAAAUCUUAGUAUUUUAGUCGUAGAUUCUCUCAUCUUACCUAUCGUAAAAAUGAAUAGUAGUAUUUACAAGACACACAAAAGAUAUUUUUAUAAGUUAUCAAGAUGAACAUGAUUCAACUAGCAUACGUAAUAUAUUAUAAAUUUAUUAACGAGUAUAUAAUACUUUAAUCGGUUCUUUGUUCAAUAAUGUACAAAUAUUUUAACUCUAGGUCAAGAGUUUAUGUUCACAGUAGUUGAGUUGUAUUUAGGUCGGAUGAUAUUUUAAAAGUUAAAUAUAUAUUUUUUUAAAAUAUAAUUAAGUUGUUUAUAUUUAUAUCCAAAUUGCAAUUGUCUUAAAAGAAUUAGACUAAUUUAGAUCUAUUUGAUGUCUUAGUAGGAGGAUGAGAAUGAUUUUAUUUUUUAAAUAGUUCGAAAUAAUUUUGUAGUGUUUAAAAUUUGUUUAAACAAAAUUAUGCUUUUAACUUAUAAAAAUUUAAUUUUAAUUAUGGUUUGAAAAUAAUGUUGAGAGGUGUAAAAUCAAAUAUUAUAUUGAUUUUGAAAAUUAUUAAAACCGUAUUUGAAUUAUGUUAUAUAAUUAUUGAUUUGAACUAUUUUCAAUCAACAAACGACUAUUGCAAUUUUUUUAAUUUUAAAAUUGANNNNNNNNNNNNNNNNNNNNNNNNNNNNNNNNNNNNNNNNNNNNNNNNNNNNNNNNNNNNNNNNNNNNNNNNNNNNNNNNNNNNNNNNNNNNNNNNNNNNNNNNNNNNNNNNNNNNNNNNNNNNNNNNNNNNNNNNNNNNNNNNNNNNNNNNNNNNNNNNNNNNNNNNNNNNNNNNNNNNNNNNNNNNNNNNNNNNNNNNNNNNNNNNNNNNNNNNNNNNNNNNNNNNNNNNNNNNNNNNNNNNNNNNNNNNNNNNNNNNNNNNNNNNNNNNNNNNNNNNNNNNNNNNNNNNNNNNNNNNNNNNNNNNNNNNNNNNNNNNNNNNNNNNNNNNNNNNNNNNNNNNNNNNNNNNNNNNNNNNNNNNNNNNNNNNNNNNNNNNNNNNNNNNNNNNNNNNNNNNNNNNNNNNNNNNNNNNNNNNNNNNNNNNNNNNNNNNNNNNNNNNNNNNNNNNNNNNNNNNNNNNNNNNNNNNNNNNNNNNNNNNNNNNNNNNNNNNNNNNUUACUCAAUUCGACAUAUCAAAUUAAUCAAACUAUGAAUUUAGUACGUGAGUUUGAUUUAAAUUUAAAAUAAGGGUUGGAAUAUGGCCAAACCUUAAAAAAAAUUCAAAGUUUUAUUUCCCACUUAAUUUUAUUUGAGGGAAAAAAAAAAAAUUUAAUAUGAUGAUUUUUUUUUAAGUAAAAUUUGGAAUAUAACCAAAAUUUUAAUUUUGAAAUAAGGAUAAGGUUUCUACCGUACCUUAAUUUAUCUUGGGGAUGCAUAAGAAUUUGGAAUGAACAAAAAAAAAAUCAAGUCCUCAAUCUUAGGUAAAGUUGGAUUUAUGGUUCCGAUUUAAAUUCAUGAUAAAAAGGAGAUCAUAUAUGCAAGUUAAUUUAACUUGAAUUUUGGAAUUGAGAAUAUAUAUAUAUAUAUAUAUAUAUAUAUAUAUAUUUAAAAUAUUUAAAAAUUUCAACAUUUUUAAAUAUUUUAAAUAUCUCAAUAAAAGUAAACUUGAGAUUUAUCCAAAAAAAAAGAAAUAAUUUAAAAUAAAAAUAAGAUAAUUGGAUUAUCUUUUCUUUAUAUAUAUAUAUAUUUUUAAAAAUCAUUCCUAUUCCUUUUAGGAAUUGGAUUUGUUUUUUUUUUAAAAAAAAUAAUUAAAUAUCAUUCCUAAUCCUUUUAGGAACUGGAUUUGUUGGGCCUAUAAAUAGACUCAUACCCUACUCACUUAUACCUCAUCCAACGCUUAUUCCUCAUCCAAUCGGCAGAAAGGUAUAGAAAACUUUUCUUCUCCCUUUCUCUUUUUUUUUUUUUUCUUUUUUUUUGUGUGUGUGUUGUUUUUUUAUUCUGUUUUGUUUUUUUUUUUUUUUGUUUGUUUUUUUUUGUGUUGUUUUGUUUUUGUUUUUGUUUUUUUUUUUUUUUUUUUGCAGGAAUGACUUUGUCGAGCUUCUUCUAGGGACGAUCGGGCUUUUGCCGUCAGAUCUAUCGCCCUAGUUGGAGAGAUCGACUCUGUCAUCGUCGGGCUUCGAUCUUCGUUUGCAGAAAUGACUUUGUUGAGCUUCUUCUAGGGACGAUCGGGCUUUUGCCGUCAGAUCUAUUGCCCUAGUUGGAGAGAUCGACUCUGUCAUCGUCGGGCUUCAAUUUUCGUUUGCAGAAAUGACUUUGUUGAGCUUCUUCUAGGGACGAUCGGGCUUUUGCCGUCAGAUCUAUUGCCCUAGUUGGAGAGAUCGACUCUGUCAUCGUCGGGCUUCAAUUUUCGUUUGCAGAAAUGACUUUGUUGAGCUUCUUCUAGGGACGAUCGGGCUUUUGCCGUCAGAUCUAUCGCCCUAGUUGGAGAGAUCGACUCUGUCAUCGUCGGGCUUCAAUCUUCGUUUGCAGAAAUGACUUUGUUGAGCUUCUUCUAGGGACGAUCGGGCUUUUGCCGUCAGAUCUAUCGCCCUAGUUAGGAGAGAUCGACUCUGUCAUCGUCGGGCUUCGAUCUUCGUUUGCAGAAAUGACUUUGUUGAGCUUCUUCUAGGGACGAUCGGGCUUUUGCCGUCAGAUCUAUCGCCCUAGUAGGAGAGAUCGACUCUGUCAUCGUCGGGCUUCAAUCUUCGUUUGCAUAAAUGACUUUGUUGAGCUUCUUCUAGGGACGAUCGGGCUUUUGCCGUCAGAUCUAUCGCCCUAGUAGGAGAGAUCGACUCUGUCAUCGUCGGGCUUCGAUCUUCGUUAUCACCAAUUGAGCUUCUUCGUUUUUUUUUUUUUUUUUCUUCUUCUUCUUAUUCUUCUUUCUUUUUGUUUUUUCUUCUUUUGCUUCUUUCUUUUUUGUUUUCUUCUUCUUCUUCUUUCUUUUGUUUUUUUUUCUUUUCUUCUUUCUUUUGCUUUUUGCUUUUUUUUUUUUUUUUUUUCCUUCUUUCUUCUUCAUCAUUUUCUUCUUUCUUCUUCUUGCUUCUCCCCUUUUUUUUUUCUUUCUUUCUUGGUUGUGGUACUAGGGAGAAGAUGAAGAUGAAUCAUCUAGCUUGCGACACCUUAGAGCUGAUGAAAAUGAAUUCCAUCGGCCGGGUUGUGACACCUGUUAGAUGAUAAAGAUGAAUACUCUCAGCUACGACAUAUAGGAGAAGAUGAAGAUGAAUCCUCUCGGCUAUGACAUAUGGGAGGAGAUGAAGAUGAAUUCUCUUCAGUUGCAGCACUUGGAAGAAGAUGAAGAUGAAUCCUCUCAGCUAUGACAUAUGAGAGAAGAUGAAGAUGAAUCCUCUCGGCUAUGACAUAUGAAAGGAG
This 77271-nucleotide long non-coding RNA is filed under the name Cucumis sativus (cucumber). Its description in RNAcentral is "long non-coding RNA (CSAT_LNC002410)". The record is from RNAcentral. Lineage: Eukaryota; Viridiplantae; Streptophyta; Magnoliopsida; Cucurbitales; Cucurbitaceae.